ACAUCAUGCAAGGUUUUGCAGUUGGUCAGAAAGCUCUAGAUGACAAAGUUGAGAAGUUCGAGCGGGCUUCAGUGGCAAAUAGUGGUGUCAACCUGGAUGGUGUCUCCAACCAGGGGCUGGGUGGUUCUCGAGACGGUGGUAAAAGGACAAUAGUGGGUAUAGUGAACAACAAUGCUGGAGGUUUUGGUGCUGCGGGUGGUCAACCUGGUCAGAAUCUGAAGGACAGUCUGUUCCCGCCUUUCUUUGGGGUCGAUGAUGACAGAGAAGAAGAUAGAGAAGCCGAUCAGUUCUCGAUGCACAACGAAUCGUCCGGUCAAUACGGUGCCCCACAACAGAAUAAAGAGAUUCAGCUGCUGGCUGAGAAGAUCCGAGCUUUGGAGAGCUAUGCCACUCCUGGGGUGGUUAACAUGUCGAACAUGGGGCUGGUAGAGGGGAUUGUGAUCCCGCAGAAAUUCAAGGCGCCCACAUUUGAUAGGUACAAUGGGAGUUCCUGCCCCGAAACUCAUUUGCAAGCGUUUGUUCGUAAGAUCUCUGCAUACACCAUGGACCAAAAGCUGUGGAUGUACUUCUUCCAGGACAAUCUGUCCGGAGGCUCACUGGAGUGGUACACCAAGCUCAAGUCCUCAGAUAUCAAGAACUGGCAGGAUCUGGGGGACGCAUUCUUUAAACAGUAUCAAUUCAAUGCUGAUAUGGCUCUGAGUCGUACCCAGCUGCAGGGUAUGUCUCAGAAGAAUAGCGAAGGGUUUAAAGAAUACGCUCAGAGAUGGAGGGAAUUGGCUGCUAGAGUGCAACCUCCACUUGUGGACAGAGAGAUGUCUGAUCUCUUCAUGGGGACCCUGCAGGGGGCAUUCGCCGAAAGAAUGGUUGGUUGUCCGGUGACAAACUUUUUGGAUAUAGUUGUGGCUGGUGAAAGGAUAGAGAGCUGGCUGAAGAUUGGAAAGAUACAGGGUAAUGCUUCAUCUUCCGGAUCGAAGAAGCCCUUCAGUAAUGGCCAGAGAAAGAAAGAGGGUGAUACCAGUGCGGUCUACGCUCAGAGAGGACCCAGUAGGGAUCGUUACUUCCAGCACACUGCUGCGGUAACUAUUCCUGCUGAGAAUCAGCAACAGCAGCAACAACAGCAACAGCAGCAACCUCAACAACAAAGACAACCAUUUCAGCAGAGGCCUCAGAGGGCUGGUUAUCAGGUGCGGGGAAGGAUGAAUGAUAGGCAGUUUGACAGGCCGCCUGUGACUUAUUCUUUUCUGUUAAAAAAGUUGAUGGAUUUGGGGCUGGUACAGCUAAGAACUCUGGCACCUUUGAGACCUGAUCAGAGGCCAGCUAAUUAUGAUGAGAAUGCUAAAUGCGAAUUUCACUCAGGUGCGCCCGAACAUAAUAUAGAGAACUGCAAAGCUUUUAAGCACGUGGUUCAAGACCUGGUGGAUUCGAAAGCUAUCAACUUCGCACCAUCUCCCAAUGUGAAUGCUAAUCCCAUGCCCGCGCAUGGUCAAAGGGGGGUGAAUGCUAUCUCUGAGGAGGGCCGAAUCGGGUUGUUGUCUGUUAAUCAAUUGAAGACUCCGUUGGCUGAGGUGAAACGGCAGUUGUUGUUGAAUGGAGUCAAUCCGGGCUGUAGUGAUGAUUGUGCUGAGUGCAUGGUUGAUACUGAGGGAUGUACAUUGUUGAGAAAGACUGUUCAGGGUCUGAUGGACGAAGGGACUAUCCGGGUUGAGAAGGUUGACAUGGGAAGAGAUGAGGUCUCCACCAUAACAAUUUAUUUUGAUCCGGUGGAUUUGUCUACUCUGGCGGAGGCGGCUCCAAUUACCAUCACGGUACCUGGACCAAUUCCAUAUGACAAAGAUGAUGCCGUGCCAUGGCAUUAUGGUGGGGAGGUAUAUUGCAAUGGUGAGAAAGUAGAAGAUCAGACUGCGGAUGAAAACCACCGUUUCAAAGUGGAUAAUCCCGGGUCCCAGCGGUUGUCAUCGCAUGGAAGCUACGUUGCUCCUGAUGCUUGAGGAGGAGAGAGGAGAAAGAAGAGAAAAAAGAAAAGAGCUGAGGCUUUAGCCAGGGCGAAAGGGAAAGCAGUGGUGAGCGAUGGUACUCCAGUGGUGACACCGGCGCCCGUGGGGUCGGAAGAGAAACUUGAUGAUGAUGCAGAGGAAUUCUUAAGGAUCAUCAAGAAGUCUGAGUACAAGCUGGUGGACCAUCUGCAGCAAACUCCCUCCAAAAUAUCAAUUCUAUCUUUGCUGUUAAGCUCUGAGGGGCAUAGAGAGGCUCUGUUGAAAAUUUUGAAGAAAGCCUAUGUUCCUUAAGAGAUUACCAUAAACCAGUUGGAGACAGUAGUGUCUAAUGUGCAUGCCAGCCAUGGGUUGGGCUUUACUGACAUGGACCUGACUGUAGAUGGGAGAAAUCACAACCGUGCGUUACAUAUAGCAAUGGAAUGUAAAGGAGCCGUGCUUUCGCAUGUGCUGGUUGAUACCGGCUCCUCAUUGAAUGUGUUGCCAAAGAAGGCUCUGGCUAAGCUAAAUUGUGACAGGCUGAUUCUGACUCCCACUGAUCUGAUAGUGCGGGCAUUUGAUGGGUCAAAGGGGGGCGUAUUUGGAGAAGUUGAGCUUCCGGUGAAGAUAGGCCCGGAGGUGUUUAAGUCGACUUUCUAUGUCAUGGAUAUCCAGCCGGCAUACAGUUGCUUGUUGGGUAGGCCGUGGAUUCAUGCUGCUGGGACAGUGACCUCGACUUUGCACCAAAAGCUGAAAUAUAUCUGGGAAGGACAGGUUGUCACUGUGUGCGGAGAAGAGGAUAUAUUUGUCAGCCACCUGUCAUCUUUCAAAUACGUUGAAAUGGACGGCGAGAUAUGGGAGACGCCAAGUCAAGCAUUUGAAACCGUCAAGGUGGAGAAUGCUCUGUUUGCAAAAGAAGAGGAAAAACCGUCCAUUGCUUCGUACAAACAGACCGCCGAGGUGGUGAGGAAUGGAGAGGCUCCUGGUUGGGGCAGGAUGAUGGAUAUCUCUGCAAAGAAAGAUCGUUUCGGAGUGGGGUAUCAGCCUGGCAGAGGCUCAUCUGGACAAGGCAGAGGACGUCGUACGUCGGUCACAUUCACUAGUGCCGGAAUGCUGGAUCCGGAUCACAUCUGCAUGAUGAGUGAGGAAGCUGAUAGCGAGUGGGGUAUCAGCCUGGCAGAGGCUCAUCUGGACAAGGCAGAGGACGUCGUACGUCGGUCACAUUCACUAGUGCCGGAAUGCUGGAUCCGGAUCACAUCUGCAUGAUGAGUGAGGAAGCUGAUAGCGGCUGCGAAAUUGACCAAUGGAUAAAGCCGUGCGCACCAGGGAUGGGAAUCCAGAACUGGAAGGCCGAAAAGAUCAUCCGGGUCACUCUGCUGGAAGAGUAAUAUUUUUCCUGUUUUGAUUUUAUAUGUAUGAAAGCCAUACGUGUUGCCCGACACGUAAUGGUUCAUUGUAAGGGCCACCUCAUGUUUAAAUUUGCAAAUUUGCAUCAUCAAUAAAGGAUGUUUUUCAGUUAAAAAGCGGUGUUCCCUGUUUUUCAUUUAUUUUUGCAGUUUAAAAAUACAACAAAAUAAAAAUGGCAAUGUUUUCAUUUUUCUUUUUCAAUUUGUCUCGUUCCGAUUCUAAAGCAAUGCAUGAAUCCACAUUCAUGCAGAUGCGAUCAAUCUCCGGAUCUCAUUGAUAACAAUCCUGUUACACCCUCGUAUGACUUCGACAAUCCGAUCUAUCAAGCCGAAGAAGAAGGCGAAGAAGAUUGUGAACUGCCAGGGGAAUUAGCCAGGUUGUUGAAACAAGAGGAGAAGGUGAUUCAGCCGCAUGGAGAGCAGAUUGAGGUUGUGAAUUUGGGUACCGACGAGGUCAAAAAAGAGGUGAAAAUCGGGGCUGCUUUGGAGGAAAGUGUCAAGAGCAGAAUGGUGGCAUUGUUGAAAGAGUAUGUCGACAUCUUUGCCUGGUCUUAUCAAGAUAUGCCAGGGUUGGAUACCGAUAUUGUUGUGCACAAGCUACCGUUGAGAGCAGAUUGUCCUCCAGUGAAGCAGAANNNNNNNNNNNNNNNNNNNNNNNNNNNNNNNNNNNNNNNNNNNNNNNNNNNNNNNNNNNNNNNNNNNNNNNNNNNNNNNNNNNNNNNNNNNNNNNNNNNNNNNNNNNNNNNNNNNNNNNNNNNNNNNNNNNNNNNNNNNNNNNNNNNNNNNNNNNNNNNNNNNNNNNNNNNNNNNNNNNNNNNNNNNNNNNNNNNNNNNNNNNNNNNNNNNNNNNNNNNNNNNNNNNNNNNNNNNNNNNNNNNNNNNNNNNNNNNNNNNNNNNNNNNNNNNNNNNNGAUUAUCAACCGAUGAAGUUUGAAUUCCCUGAUGAGGACAUCAUGUUUCUCAAAUCGAAGGAUUGUGAGGAACCAAUCCCGGAGGAGGGGCCUGACCCUGAAUCCGAAUGGAUUCUGAUGUUUGAUGGGGCCGUUAACGUGAAUGGGAGCGAUGUUGGUUUUUGGUUACGCCGAAAGGAUCCCACAUUCCUUUUGCUGCCCGGCUAACAUUUGAGUGCACCAACAACGUGGCUGAAUAUGAAGCUUGUAUCCUGGGGAUUGAAGAGGCGAUUGAUUUGAGGAUCAAGAACCUUGUCAUAUAUGGAGAUUUAGCUCUGGUUGUAAAUCAAGUUAACGGAAAAUGGUAUACGCAUCAGUCUCACUUAGUUCCAUACCGGGAUUACACGAGGAGAUUGUUGACGUUUUUCACCAAGGUGAGGAUGCAUCAUGUGCCCAGAGAAGAGAAUCCUUUGGCAGAUGCUUUGGCUACUCUGGCCGCCUUGAUUAAAGUGCAGUGGUGGAAUCAGUUCCCCAGUGUUGAAGUAGGUCGUCUGGAUAGACCGACUUAUGUGUUUGCUGUUGAUACAACGCCUGAUGAUGAGAAGUCGUGGUAUUACGAUAUCAAGCGCUAUCUGGAGACUCAAGAAUAUCCUGAGGGAGCAUCUAAGAAGGACCGAAAGACUCUGCGGAGGUUGGCCAUGGUGUUCUAUCUGAAUAAGGAUGGGGUUUUGUAUAAGAGGAAUUUUGAUUGGGUCUUGCUCAGAUGUGUCGAUCUAUCUGAAUAAGGAUGGGGUUUUGUAUAAGAGGAAUUUUGAUUGGGUCUUGCUCAGAUGUGUCGAUGAUAAAGAAGCAAGCCAAUUGAUGAAAGAGGUUCAUGAAGGAUCGUUCGGUACCCAUGCCAGUGGGAAUGCGAUGGUAAAGAAGUUGCUGAGGGCAGGUUAUUAUUGGAUGACCAUGGAGGCCCAAUGUUUCAAUUUUGUGCGGAAGUGUCAUAAAUGCCAGAUUUAUGCUGACAAGGUGCACGUGCCUCCAAAUCCGUUGAGCUUAAUAUCGUCUCCAUGGCCGUUUGCUAUGUGGGGCAUUGAUAUGAUUGGAAAGAUAGAGCCUACGGCUUCGAAUGGGCAUCAGUUCAUAUUAGUGGCUAUUGAUUACUUCACCAAGUGGGUAGAAGCAGCCUCUUAUACGAACGUGACGAAGCAAGUCGUUGCCAGGUUUCUCAAGAGAGACAUCAUUUGCCGAUAUGGGGUUCCCGAGAGAAUCAUUACUGAUAAUGGUUCUAAUUUGAAUAACAAAAUGAUGGCAGAACUGUGCCGGGAAUUCAAGAUCGAACAUCACAACUCUUCUCUCUAAUCGUCCGAAGAUGAUGGGGCGGUUGAGGCCCAGCCACAAGAAUAAUAAAGAAGAUGUGCAAAAGAUGGUGGUAACCUACAAAGACUGGCAUGAGAUGUUGCCGUUUGCAUUGCAUGGGUAUCGAACGUCGGUGCGUACAUCUACUGGGGCAACUCCUUUCUCAUUGGUAUAUGGAAUGGAAGCCGUGUUACCUGUUGAGGUUCAGAUUCCCUCUUUGAGAGUCCUGAUGGACGUAAAAUUGCAAGAGGCUGAAUGGGUAAGGACCCGGUAUGAGGAGUUGAGCCUGAUUGAGGAAAAGAGGCUGGCAGCCAUCUGUCAUGGGCAGUUGUACCAGCAGCGAAUGAAGCGUGCUUUUGACAGAAAGGUACGACCUCGAGUAUAUCACGUGGGUGAUAUGGUGCUGAAAAGGAUCCUUCCUCCUCAAAACGAUCGAAGGGGCAAGUGGACACCUAAUUAUGAAGGUCCAUUCGUGGUCAAGAAGGUUUUCUCUGGCGGAGCCUUGUUGCUAACGACCAUGGAUGGUAAGGAUUUUCCAUCCCCUGUGAAUGCGGACGCAGUUAAAAAAUACUUCGUAUAAAGAGACCCGCUGGACGAAAAGAAUAAAAUAGUCCAGGCAAAAAUGGGCAUCCCGGCGAACCAAAAACAGAAAGAAAAGGUUUCGGGCAUAAAGUUUAGGGGAUAAAAAAAGAAAAAUUGUAGCACGCCAGCAAGUCGAAAACCUGAAAAGGGCGACUUGGGCAAACAAAAAGGGUAUCCGUGUGGACUGAAAACCCGAGGGCGGUCCAGGCAAUAAGAGGGGAAUUGAAACGAACAACGCGUCUGCAUGAUCGUUGUGUGCCUUUGGUUAAAGCAUCAUGGAUAAUACCUCGGUGGGGACCAAUCAGAACCACGUCUUGUUCAGAAGGCAGAAAGCCAGGAGAGUCGCUUGAGGGACGAAUAUGGGGUGUCCGAGUUUGGAACUCUGAUGAACGAUGUCACGGGUUUUCACAUUGCGCAUUAGGAUAGAUUAUUUUCCCUUUUAAGAGAGCGCAAUUACCUCUUUUCAGGAAUUGCUUCCUUUGUAGUUGCUCAAUUUGAGCCACAUCAUUUUCCAUAAUCAAUAAAAUGACAUAUUCAAGUCAGACUAAUUUUGUUUUUGUUUUUCAUUACCGCGCUUUGAUGCAAAAACAUCCGAUUAUUUUGUGAUAAAGAUCUUUGCAUUUUAAGACAAUAACAGGUCCUUCCAAUGCCAUGCUUAUAAGAUUGAAAAUUUGAAAAUCUUAUUAUUCGGAAGGUUUGAGUGACUCCAAGUGUUUGAAUCUGAAACGCCUGGGGCACGGUUUUAUCUAACGAUCUCUUUUUUGUAGGAACUGUUUAGAUAUUUCACUACGCCAAAAAAGACCUAUGAGAGCGGCUUUUUUUGGCCCUUUAAAAGCGCUUAAAAGCGGGCUGCGUAGGUGGCGCUGCUAUAGGUUUUAGCAGCACUUUGUGUUUACUAAAAAGCGCUGCUAAAGGUUGUCAAUAAAGAGAGCGCUUUUAGCUAAAAAGCGCGUGCUAAAGGUGGUAUAUAGCAGCGCUUUUUAUGUAAAAAAGCGCUCUCUAUUGACAACGCUAAGCAGCGCUUUUUUUACUAAAAAGCGCUCUCUAUGACAACCUUUAGCAGCGCUUUUUAGUAAAAGCGUCUCUAUUGACAACCUUAAGCAGCGCUUUUUUUACUAAAAAAGGCGCUGUCUUUUCCUCUAGUAAAAUAACAAAACCGCUCCUCAGUUUUAAGCCUACCAUUUCAACCCUGUAAUAAUUUUUUUUGGAAUAAUACAUAAACCUGUAAAUCAAGCCUCUCUAAUUCAAGCAUUUGGAGUCAUAAUUCAAGCAUUUGUAAUUUUUAAACAAACACAAGCAAACCAACACAAGAAUGAAACACAUUUGGAGUCAAUAAUUCAGCAAACCAACAACCAAGGAUAAAUAGGCACUGGAACACAAUUUGGAGUCCAUAAUUCAAGCUUUUGUAAUUUUUAAAGCAAACCAACACAAGAAUGAACACAUUUAAUCUAUGCCAUGAAUUAAAAGAUAUCACUAAAAUUAAAAGAACUAUAACACAAGUCAAAACUAAUAUGUUUAUAACGAUACGGCCUAUUUGGAGUCAUAACUAAUCUGUUAAAAAUAUAAAGAACUAUACACUUGCAACACAGAAACCACUUCUUACCAUCAAAAGUAUUCAUGGUUAUUUUGAAAACCAUUAUAUAACUAAUUAAUCUUUCUCAAUAAAAUAUUGACACAGUAUUCCCUCCUUGAUUUGUUCGCAACUGCAGUUCGUGUCAAUGAGCACACUUGUAUUCCUCAAAGUAUUACAUAAACAAACAUAAUAUGCAUGAUUUUAGUUAAAAGUAAUAAAUAAUAUGAAUAUUUCGAGUAAAUAUUAGAAACAAUUCUAAGUUAUAAAUCCAUACCGUGAUUGAAUCUCUACUUUGAUUCAUAUUAAUGAUUUCCGCUCAUAAACCUCAUUACAAAGUAUCCGCAAUCCGAUAUCGUUGCGCGCUGUAGAGGGACAGCUACAUAGAAACAUAAAUAAGAAAUGUAUAGUUAUCUUUCUUAAUCAGUAUCCGCAAUCACUAUUAUAAGCAAAAUUGUGGAAAAAUUAAAGUACCCUGCACUUUUAUCCACGUAAUGUUUGCUGGAUUUAGUACGUGGUACUCCGAGCUUGUCCUUUGGAUCGGAACACUUUUAUGAUCUAACAAAAUAAAACCAAUAUAUUAGAAUUAAAAAAAGUAUGCGAGAUGCUAACGCGGUAUCAUGGUAAUUGAUAUAUUGAUCUUGGGCGGCAUAACGGCAUCGAAUUACCGAAUGCGCAAGAAUGUAAUUACAAUCAAUUAAUUCACCAAUGAAAAAUGGUUGGCCGAAAUAUCCUAAGCCUUCAUAACGCUUACAAUCCCAUAGCCACACCCACACAAAAUGACGACUUUUGGACUAAAGUGGUUUACUCAUGAAAAGAAUUUGAAGAGCUACAACUUGGAGUUUAAAACUGAAAUUUUCAUCACCUAAUAAGCUUUUUUUUUUUGAAAACAAAAGCACACAUGAAAUGAGAAUCCUAACAAUGUCAUUACGUUUAAUGGAAAUCUCUUUCUAGUUACCCUAUCAAGAGGAAACGACCACCGCAUAUUAUAGCAGAAAUUUAUACAAAUGCAACCAGGUCCAAAACCGACCUUAACAUGGUAACGUAAUUAACAUAGGCAUAUAACGCGUAAUAUACAUUAUGCAUGUCUACAUAAAUUCCAAAACCAAAAAUGAAAAGAAAGGGUACAUAUUUUCGAAACAAUCCUUUAAUACAGAAGGGAACUAUUUGCAGAUAAACAAAUGGCGCUAAAAAUGCUAAAUACUGGAAAGGAACCUAAAUCACGCAAUCGACCACAAUGAAUCAACUAAUACAAAAUCCAAAAAAUGAUGAAAAUUAAAACAGGAGGUUCACAGAAAUAAAACACAGCCACAAGAUUCAUUCCAGGAGAAACCAACAUCGUUACUGGAACUGCAAAACAUGUUCAAACUAGCCCGUUGAUUUUAAUGAUAUUACCUUGUCUCCAAAGCCUGCAAAGCUUUUUUACCAAUCCGUCCGUGAAGAACCGCAAAUCUCUUUGGGACGCGAUCCGGUAAGGACGGAAGAUACGACGGGAAUGAAAAUGAGGCGACUGGGUUCGGCGAAAGAAGGGUUGAGGAGUGUACGGUGAGGCGACGGUGGUCGUUGGCGGCGAUGAGUGGGUUUCGUUGAGUUUCGUGUGGUGGGAUUCGUAAAUCCGGAGGGUUUCAGGUUGGUGAGUGAAGAUGGUGGUUUGAGGGUUUUGUUUUUAGGGUGUUUCGGACUUUUGACGGCGGCCGACGGAAGAAGAAAGUUUAACGGAUGGUGGGCGAGCCUCGGCGGCGCUUGAGAGAGAUGAUGAAGGGUUUGGCGAUGAAAGAAGAAGAUAGGGUUUUUAGGGUUCGUGAGGGAUUUUUGAGAGAGGCGAAUGAAGAGGAAAAGUUGUGAGGAUUUCGUCAAGAGUGAGAGAGAGGUAAUUGUGAGCUGCAAUUCUGAGUGAGGGAAUGCCGAGCGUGAGAGAUUAAGGAGGGAUUUUUAUUUUUUUCUUUUUGAGUCGUUUAUGUGAGGAGGGACAUGCGGGGGGGAGGUGAGUGGAAAUUUUCAUAGAUGUGAGACUGAGACGCUAUAAGAAGCGUUUUACCUAAAAGCGCUUUCAUCAGUCCUGAAACCUCAUUGAGACUAUAAGAGCGCUUUUAACCUGCCAAAGCGCUUUCAUAAGUGUGACAACCCAUGAACCUAUAAGAGAGCGCUUUUACCUUAAAAGCGCUUUCAUAAGUGUGUGAGACUGAGACCUAUAAGAGCGCUUUUUACCUUAAAAAGCGCUUUUCAUAAAGUGUUGAAACUCAUAGAUGUGAGACUGAGACCUAUAAGAGCGCUUUACCUUAAAAGCGCUUUCAUAAGUGGAAGACUAUAAGAGCGCUUUUAACCUUAAAAGGCUUUGCUUUACAUAGGCGAAUUUUUUUUCAAGCCCUAUUACAGGCGCUUUUUUUAAAAAGCGCUUUCUUUUUGUGCUGCACAAGCACUUUUGGCGUAGUGUUUUCACUCACUUGCAGGUUGUGAUGUGGAAGCUGUUGACAAAACAAAUCCCCACGGAGUCCGAUCAGGGACGAAUGGAUAGAGGAACGGUGAAAGGACGACGAAGGACAUACGACGAUCCUUGGAAUUAAUCAAGAAGACUCUUCAAAGUCUGAAAAUUGAAAAGUCUGUAUAAGUCCCAGGAGUUCGCUUUCCGUCGAGUACGGAGCGGUUUGGAAUACAAGAUGAUGGAACAGAAAAGGUCCAGAUGAGUCUGGGAGUUCUCAAAAUUGGAAUGCUGACAAUGGAUUUGAAUGAUGAAUGACAUGAUUCGACGAGUCGACGGGUGUUCAGUACCAGAAUUUCCUUAUCUUUCCAAGCAGGGUCAUGAGGACUAAUUCCCCAGCAGAUCCAAGGUCUGUGGCUUCCCUAGCAGGGUCAGGAUGGUUAUCCCCAGCAGGUUUCAGAUUGGUGCUUCCCCAGUCGUCAGGUCUGGAGGUUGUUAUUUCCCAGCGGAGGUAUCUGUGGGUGGUGGUUUCUCAAGCAUAGUCGGGAUGUAUAUCCCCAGUAAGUCAAAGACUGUUGUAUCCCCACAGAGUGCAUUGUUGGAUCUUUCCCCAGCAAUUCCCCAAGCGGAUCGGGUGCGAAGGAGGUUUUUCCCCGGCAAGGGUUGCCUUUUCCCAGCAGCAGCGAUAUUCCCCAGCAGGGUGGAGAUUAGAGUGUUGGCGAGUUCCUCAGCAGAGUGUCUCGAGCUCCCUAGAAGAGUCCCUUGAGGGGGAUACUUUUUAUACAUUCAUCAUGUAGAUAAGCAUAACAUAUUGUAUAAAGAAUCGCGUAGCAUUUCCAUAAUUAUGGAGCAUUACGCAGAAAAAUUAAUCAUGCAUCAUAUUGCAAGCAUGAGCUAGUCUCAGACCGUGGUUACCGUUUGAGAAGUGGUUGCCUGAGGGUGAAGGUGUUGCUCCGAGGAGUUUGGCACCAAAGCAUGAGCUAGUCUCAGACCGUGGUUACCGUUUGAGAAGUGGUUGCCUGAGGGUGAAGGUGUUGCUCCGAGGAGUUUGGCACCGUUUUUAUCAACAGUACUUCCCCAGUAGUGCGAUACUGGAGGGAACUUUUCUGUCGGACAGAGAUGGGAAUGUUACGCGAUCAGCGCGACUCAAGCCGUGGUUACCGUUUGAGAUUUGGUUUUGCCCGAGGGUAAAGGUGUUACUCUGAGGAGUUUAGCAUCGUGAUGUCAGAUCAACAAUGUUCUCCAGUAGUGCGAUACUGGAGGAAACUUUUCCGUCGGGCGGAGAUGGAAAUGAAAUCAAAGGACGCUACGCGAUCAGCGCGACGAUCGGGGUUCAAAUGGAGAAAGGGAAAUGUUGAGGCAUUUUCUGGAGAUCGGGGUUCAAUUGGAGAAAAGGAAGUGUUGAGGCAUUUUCUGGAGAUCGGGGUUCAAAUAGAGAUUGGAGUUGAAGAUCAUAUCCGGGAUGAGGUCCUCAGGAUUAUCUUCUGUUCAUGUGUCACCUUAGACUUCGGCCGAGGCCAACGGAGGUCGUUACGGGUGUCUUCUGAAGAAGAGAUGCACAUGUUACCUUCCUUUUGUGAAGGAGUACCCUCUGAUAUGUUGCCAUCAGAGUGGUGUUUGGUGUUAUUUCCGCCGUGCCAGCGGAAUUAUCACAAGAGAGUGGAGAGCGGGGUUCAAAUGGAGAAAGGGAAAUGUUGAGGCAUUUUCUGGAGAUCGGGGUUCAAAUGGAGAAAGGGAAAUGUUGCGACAUUUUUUGGAGAACGGGGUUCACAAUGGCGAUCACAAGUUAUCGUCAGGCGACUGGGGUUCAAAUGGAGAAUGGGGUUCAUUAUGUUGGCAAACAAGGUGUCGGGGUUCAAAUGCAAUGAUCCGGGAUCAUUUGUGCGAAGAAAAAUUUUGGGGUUCAAGAAAAUGGAAAAGAUUAUCACUUAGAAAAGAAAUUUCAGGGUUCAAGAAAAAGCAAAAAAAUAAUAAUCCCCAGCGGAUGUGUGGUGUUCAGGCCAUGGUUAUCCCUGUGUUACCAUUUAUUUUGGUAUCCGGGUCGAUGUUGCUGUUUCGGUGAUCAGGCCGACUUUCUCCGUUCCAGACGGGUGUUUCUUUCAAGAUUGUUCUUUGCCGAUUCUGACAGGCACUGUUAAUUAUUUUCCUAUCAGAGUGCAAAUUGUUCGUCUGUUCUUGGUAUUCAAUCACUCUUCAUCCUGAUCAUCUGAAAGCCGAGGCUAUUCAUAUCGACAGGUUCACAGUGGAUUGAAUAGGGGCAGCUGUAACACCUCAAAAUUUGCCCUCCUCUCUUGGGACUAGCUUAAGCAUUGCAUAUAAUUUUGUAGGUCAUUAGGCAUUGCAUGUUUGCAUAUCAUGUGGCUACAUUGAGCAAGUCAUCCUCCUAAGUCUUGAUCAGAAGAUAAAGAGGUUGAGAUGCAAGCUAGGGUUUCAUUGAAUUGAUCACUAAUCAUCUGAGGAUGUGUGGUCCAGAUUAGGGUUUUUGAUUCUCAAGGAGAUUGAGCUUCAUCUUGGUUAGAAUGAUACAUCAUCAUCAUCAUGGUUUUGUCAUCACCAAGAGAUUGAUCAGAUACCUUGAAACUAGGGUUUUGACCACUGGUCAACCCUAAUCAUCUGAAUUGGGUCAAUCAGGGCUUGGGAAGGAGAUGAGGUUUUCAAUGGAUAUGGGGAUCAUCAUAUGUUUAUUUUGAGCUUAUGGAAGCUAAGGUUUCAUGGUUGAGCCAUUUCAUCAGGAGUUUGAGGUUCAACUUGAUCAGUGCAUAGCCAAAUUCAUCUAUCAGUCAGAAAAGUCAACUGUGGUCAACUGUGCCUGAAAUGAUGGAUUUGGAGGUGGGAGAGGGUUAGAGACACUUCAUUCAUGUCUAGACAAGUUUCAUUUGGCGUUUCAAACAUCAAGAAUGAAGAAAAUAAAGUUAGAUGAGAACUUUCCAAAAAUAGAAAGUGACUUGUAAUUGAAAACUGCCAAAAAUGGAAAGUUUUUCUCCUCAAAAUUACGUGUCCAAAAAUGCGUCAAAUGAAAUUUUGUUCAACAUGAAAGUUGUAGAUCUUGCUCUCACCUUUCCAAAAAGUCCAAGAACAUGAAUUUCUCAUGUGUGGUUGGCAAGUUAUGAUCAAAACAUUGUCCAAAAAAGUUGAAGUUCAAAGUGGCAUAACUUUUGAAUGGAAAGGCCAAAUUGAGUGAUUUUUCUUUGAGCAAACCACAUUUGAUGUGUACUAUCCAAAUCCAUUAUCACAUUUCAUCAAAAAUCAUCACAUAAAAAGGUCAUUUUUCAAGUGAACCAUUUAAAAAUUGGUGGGAAAAAUAGUGAUUUUCAAAAAUACAUGGCAUUUGCAUACAAAACCUUUUCCAACACAUUCCAAAUGACAAAUGUGACUUGCUCCAACUGGUUUUGUACUGUUACAUUGGCUGAAUUGGAAAAGGACAUUUUGGCCAUUUGACAUAAAUUGCAUUUUUGCUAAAUUCACUUGAAUUUGUUAAUUGUGAUUAACAAAUGGAUUAGCAUGUGGUAUAAAGGCAUAAUCAUAACAGAAAAUGCAUAAUCACAAUUCACUUUUCAGAUCUAACAAACUUUUCAUCCAAAAACCUCUCAAUUUUCUUCAAACCUUUUCACACUUUUUCAUCAUUUUUCAUUGCAAUUCAUCAUCCAUAGUGUGAAUUCUUGCUUGAUCCAUCAUCUACAAGUGUUUGUGGAGAACUGUUUGCAACAAAACCAAGGCCAAGAUUGAAGAAUCGUGACUGUUGCAAUCUCACUCAUCCAUGGCAAAUUGAAAGUUCUUCAGUCUGGAGCAUAGUUGAGCUACAAUACGUACUUCAUUCAACUUCUACAUCAUCAAGCAUCAUCUGUUUUUGCAAUUGAGACCUUGAAAGCGCCAAAUCACGAACUGCAUCCUCCAUAAGGUCAGAGUUCGAUUUCAAUAAUUCUCAAAAUCAUGAUAUGGCUUGUGUAGAUCUAAGCUUGUAGAGCACGUUGCAACUUGUGGUUUUGAUUUCCAUGCUGAAUUGAAUGAGAUAUCUUGAUUUGAAGUUUGGAUGUGAAACCUAAUUUUGCUCGAUUUGCUUAGUAUGAUUAGAGUUAGGUCAAAUCAUUGUUAGUUCCAUGAUCUAGGUUGAACGCUGGUCAUUUUGAUAUAUGGCAUGAUCAUUUUGGUUGAAAUAUGUUCUUGAUGAUUUCUGGAAAUGUUGAAUGUUGAUGAACGAUGAAGAACACGCUCUAGGCUUCAGUUUGAUCCAUUUUUUAUGGCUUUGAUUUCAAAUAGUUGUUUCCCGCGGUCACUAGCCAAUAGCGCGUUGCCAUGCAGUAAAAUGAAACUCUGCGUUUUGCCUUCGCUGCUUCAUAUUUACAAGUUUGCCAUUUUGCCAUUUCUGAAUAUUAUUUCAUUUCAUUUCAUUUUCUUUUUUCCAUUUUAUUUCACUUUGAUCAUUCAUCUUAGAAAAUUCAUAAGUAAUUCAUUUUUAAUCCAAAUUUGAUGAGAUUUUUUUCACCAUUCUCUUUUUGAUGUGUACUUUUUUAUGGUGAUUUUUAAUAUUUUUGUGCACGUGUGAAAAAAUUAAAUGCCUAGGGAUUGUUUGAAUGUAUCAUUUGUGUAUAUGUUUUUCCAUAUUGAUCAUGAAAUCUUGAUGCCUUAUCCAAAAUUGAUGAAAUUCUACAUGCAUAUUCUUGACUCUUUCCUGGUGAUUUUGAUAUAUAGUUUGCUAAUUUUGAGUCCCUUGUCAGAUAGAUAUGAUGUGAUCAAGUUGAGUGUGACAAUGUGUGUCACACUAUGUUAUGUCCACUUCUUGAAUUUUGUUUCCAUGCUUUUGCUUUGCCAUUUGCUCUCAAUUUUUGCAUGUGAUUACUUGUGUAUGUAUAGUUUCACCAUGAUAUUUUGUGGAUUUCAUUGAUCCAUUUUCCAUUUGAUUGAUAAUUUUCUUUGCUGUUUAGUCAUUUUUGGGAUGUUCUUGAGUGAUCAACUUAUAUAGCUUGUGAAAUUCUCAUACCUUAUCACAUGAAGCUGAAACUUUGUGGAUUGAUUCUUAGCAUGUUUAAUUUCAUUUUGGCUUUGGUGUGGUUCAUUUAUCUUAUGCCAUUUCUGUUUUACACUUGCCUAAAGUUGAUACAUGAUUGGUGGCCUUGUUUGGACUUGUAUAAGCAUGACUUGACUUAGUGAAUUUAAUUUCCAUACUUCCUCUGGUCCAAAUAGCAUGAAAUUUGAUAUGCUACUCAUUCAAUGUGUUCUGUUUAGGCUUGAAUUUUUGUGGAAUUUAUUGAGCUGUUUUGAUAUUGAUUUGAUGGUGAUCAUUCUGUUUGCUCCAAUGUGAUUCCAAAGUGCAUAGUUUGACAUGUUUUGUUCAUGAAAUGAAUUUGGUGCAUAGUUUUGAUGUGAGACCAAUUGGACCUUAUUCUGGAGUGAUUUAUAUUGAUUCUUGUUGAGUUUCACUUGCUGUUUUAAAUUUUUCACCUCCUUUUGACCCUAGGCUUGUCCUAGUGGUCUUGUUUCUCACGUUUGGAUGUGCUUUUCAGGUUAAGAAGCAAAAUGCUUUAAGGAGAUUAAUGCAAGUUGAUUGAGUUUGGUUUAUAUGAUUGUUAUGAACUAACUUGGUUUAUUUUGUAGGAUGCUUGGCUCACUUGAGUUGAUUGUGCUUUGCACAUGUGAUUGAUUGUGUUGACUGUUGAUUCUUAUCUUGUUUGUUUUGAAUUUGUGAUUGGUAUACUGACUGUAUUUGAUUGAUUUCAGGUACAUUAGUUGCUAAUAGUUCUUUGAGAACUUGCUGUGCUGCUGCUUGGUUGUAUAAACCAAUUGAGGUAGACUCUCUUGUCUCCAUGUAGUCUGGAAGACCUGGCUUGUUAUUUAGCUAGGCAACUGUCUGAAGUCCUCCUUAAGAGGUGAUGUUUGUGAUUGUUUAACUUUGUCCNNNNNNNNNNNNNNNNNNNNNNNNNNNNNNNNNNNNNNNNNNNNNNNNNNNNNNNNNNNNNNNNNNNNNNNNNNNNNNNNNNNNNNNNNNNNNNNNNNNNNNNNNNNNNNNNNNNNNNNNNNNNNNNNNNNNNNNNNNNNNNNNNNNNNNNNNNNNNNNNNNNNNNNNNNNNNNNNNNNNNNNNNNNNNNNNNNNNNNNNNNNNNNNNNNNNNNNNNNNNNNNNNNNNNNNNNNNNNNNNNNNNNNNNNNNNNNNNNNNNNNNNNNNNNNNNNNNNNNNNNNNNNNNNNNNNNNNNNNNNNNNNNNNNNNNNNNNNNNNNNNNNNNNNNNNNNNNNNNNNNNNNNNNNNNNNNNNNNNNNNNNNNNNNNNNNNNNNNNNNNNNNNNNNNNNNNNNNNNNNNNNNNNNNNNNNNNNNNNNNNNNNNNNNNNNNNNNNNNNNNNNNNNNNNNNNNNNNNNNNNNNNNNNNNNNNNNNNNNNNNNNNNNNNNNNNNNNNNNNNNNNNNNNNNNNNNNNNNNNNNNNNNNNNNNNNNNNNNNNNNNNNNNNNNNNNNNNNNNNNNNNNNNNNNNNNNNNNNNNNNNNNNNNNNNNNNNNNNNNNNNNNNNNNNNNNNNNNNNNNNNNNNNNNNNNNNNNNNNNNNNNNNNNNNNNNNNNNNNNNNNNNNNNNNNNNNNNNNNNNNNNNNNNNNNNNNNNNNNNNNNNNNNNNNNNNNNNNNNNNNNNNNNNNNNNNNNNNNNNNNNNNNNNNNNNNNNNNNNNNNNNNNNNNNNNNNNNNNNNNNNNNNNNNNNNNNNNNNNNNNNNNNNNNNNNNNNNNNNNNNNNNNNNNNNNNNNNNNNNNNNNNNNNNNNNNNNNNNNNNNNNNNNNNNNNNNNNNNNNNNNNNNNNNNNNNNNNNNNNNNNNNNNNNNNNNNNNNNNNNNNNNNNNNNNNNNNNNNNNNNNNNNNNNNNNNNNNNNNNNNNNNNNNNNNNNNNNNNNNNNNNNNNNNNNNNNNNNNNNNNNNNNNNNNNNNNNNNNNNNNNNNNNNNNNNNNNNNNNNNNNNNNNNNNNNNNNNNNNNNNNNNNNNNNNNNNNNNNNNNNNNNNNNNNNNNNNNNNNNNNNNNNNNNNNNNNNNNNNNNNNNNNNNNNNNNNNNNNNNNNNNNNNNNNNNNNNNNNNNNNNNNNNNNNNNNNNNNNNNNNNNNNNNNNNNNNNNNNNNNNNNNNNNNNNNNNNNNNNNNNNNNNNNNNNNNNNNNNNNNNNNNNNNNNNNNNNNNNNNNNNNNNNNNNNNNNNNNNNNNNNNNNNNNNNNNNNNNNNNNNNNNNNNNNNNNNNNNNNNNNNNNNNNNNNNNNNNNNNNNNNNNNNNNNNNNNNNNNNNNNNNNNNNNNNNNNNNNNNNNNNNNNNNNNNNNNNNNNNNNNNNNNNNNNNNNNNNNNNNNNNNNNNNNNNNNNNNNNNNNNNNNNNNNNNNNNNNNNNNNNNNNNNNNNNNNNNNNNNNNNNNNNNNNNNNNNNNNNNNNNNNNNNNNNNNNNNNNNNNNNNNNNNNNNNNNNNNNNNNNNNNNNNNNNNNNNNNNNNNNNNNNNNNNNNNNNNNNNNNNNNNNNNNNNNNNNNNNNNNNNNNNNNNNNNNNNNNNNNNNNNNNNNNNNNNNNNNNNNNNNNNNNNNNNNNNNNNNNNNNNNNNNNNNNNNNNNNNNNNNNNNNNNNNNNNNNNNNNNNNNNNNNNNNNNNNNNNNNNNNNNNNNNNNNNNNNNNNNNNNNNNNNNNNNNNNNNNNNNNNNNNNNNNNNNNNNNNNNNNNNNNNNNNNNNNNNNNNNNNNNNNNNNNNNNNNNNNNNNNNNNNNNNNNNNNNNNNNNNNNNNNNNNNNNNNNNNNNNNNNNNNNNNNNNNNNNNNNNNNNNNNNNNNNNNNNNNNNNNNNNNNNNNNNNNNNNNNNNNNNNNNNNNNNNNNNNNNNNNNNNNNNNNNNNNNNNNNNNNNNNNNNNNNNNNNNNNNNNNNNNNNNNNNNNNNNNNNNNNNNNNNNNNNNNNNNNNNNNNNNNNNNNNNNNNNNNNNNNNNNNNNNNNNNNNNNNNNNNNNNNNNNNNNNNNNNNNNNNNNNNNNNNNNNNNNNNNNNNNNNNNNNNNNNNNNNNNNNNNNNNNNNNNNNNNNNNNNNNNNNNNNNNNNNNNNNNNNNNNNNNNNNNNNNNNNNNNNNNNNNNNNNNNNNNNNNNNNNNNNNNNNNNNNNNNNNNNNNNNNNNNNNNNNNNNNNNNNNNNNNNNNNNNNNNNNNNNNNNNNNNNNNNNNNNNNNNNNNNNNNNNNNNNNNNNNNNNNNNNNNNNNNNNNNNNNNNNNNNNNNNNNNNNNNNNNNNNNNNNNNNNNNNNNNNNNNNNNNNNNNNNNNNNNNNNNNNNNNNNNNNNNNNNNNNNNNNNNNNNNNNNNNNNNNNNNNNNNNNNNNNNNNNNNNNNNNNNNNNNNNNNNNNNNNNNNNNNNNNNNNNNNNNNNNNNNNNNNNNNNNNNNNNNNNNNNNNNNNNNNNNNNNNNNNNNNNNNNNNNNNNNNNNNNNNNNNNNNNNNNNNNNNNNNNNNNNNNNNNNNNNNNNNNNNNNNNNNNNNNNNNNNNNNNNNNNNNNNNNNNNNNNNNNNNNNNNNNNNNNNNNNNNNNNNNNNNNNNNNNNNNNNNNNNNNNNNNNNNNNNNNNNNNNNNNNNNNNNNNNNNNNNNNNNNNNNNNNNNNNNNNNAUCCGUAUAACUCAUGUCGAAAAAUAGAAACAAAUGUUCACCAUAUUUCUCCCUUCUUUUCUAAGUCUGCCAAAAACCUUUUAGAAAAUACAAGAUCUUAUUUCAAAUCAUUCAGACACAUCAUUCUUUUAUUCAAAAGAUUCUUCAUUGUAUUUUAUAAUGUAUAAUCGAAACCCAUACUGAACAUACCUUACAUCCAUAUUAUGAUUUGAUUUAGAUUUUAGAAGCUAAAUAUUAAUGUAAGACAUGUUGGGAAAGUAAAAUUGGUUUCAAUUAUUAUUCAUGUUAUUCUUUCCUGUUUUUUUAUUUCAGUUCUAAACAACUAAUUAUUUGCAUGAAUUGUAGAAUCUGUAGGAACCUCCCAUUGAUUUUGAGUUUAGCCUUCAAAAUUGUUUUUUCCUUAUUUCUAAUGUUGUAUUUAUAUGGUGUCAAUGUGUUAGUUACAUACAAUUUUAACUGACUAACUACCUAAUCCCUUGUUACAAUAGUUUGAAUUAUUCCUAUCAUUUUAUCUUAAUUCAAACAAUUGUUUCUUCAACAAUGUUACUCCCAAUUCAACUCUUAAUUUCUCAAUGAUGUCAAUUUUGAUUGCCUUUGUAAAACUGUCAGCUACUCGAGCUUCAGUUGGACAAUGAAUUACUUCUGAUUUGUCUCCAGUCACUUGAAUGCAUAGAAAUGGGAAUCUAGUCUCAAUAUUCUUACUUAUACCUUGACAGAAACACUUCACAAUAUGCCACAAUUGAGAUUUGAGACGCUAGGUCCAACAACAAGAUUUUAGUAAUGUGAUCACUGAAAAUGAUGUGGAAUGUGUGGUUAACUUCAUGUCUAGGAAGACCUCUUAUUCAUAAUUGAGUAUAUAAUUAGAGAUUGUUUUUAAUGCUUGCAUUCUUGGCCAAAGCUAUCAGUAAAUCUCAUAAGAAGCAGAAUUGCAGCAGCUCAUUAUAAGGCUUUACACUAAUUAAUUAAAACUGCUUGAUAAGCAAAACAAGUGACCUUUUGUCAUUAGAGGUUUGAUUUAUUUUGUUCCCUUGCAGCCCCUAUUUGUGAUUGAACCGUAGAGCAGGCAAAGUAUUCGAGUAGGCGGACGACAAUCUGCAGAUUGUGUUAGUUGAAAAGUGUGAGGCUUAUCCCAACCCCUGGUAGAGGAAGUGUAGGAAGAUUUUGUUUUGAAUUGGGAUGAUACACAGUUGAGAAGAAUUACUAGCUUAUAAUGAGUUUGUUUCCACCCCUCUUAUUUUUCACUUCUAGAUGANCUCUAUAAACUUUGCAAGACUACUCCAUACUGAGGAACAUGAAGAUAAUGAGCCAUACAUUCAAGCGUCAGAAGCUCAGAUGGUUUUUUAUGUGGAUGAUGAGAAUGAACAAGGAUGGAGCAUACCUGUUCAUUUGAAGCCAAGAGAGUUGUAUGACAUGGGUGGAAAUGAUGAAAUUAUGACACCCAUUGAGCCAUACCCAUCACAAAAUUUGGAACAAUUUUUUUCUAAUGAUGAUCCUGGAGCUUCAGUGGCGAAUGAUAACAAUAAUUAAUAUAUAGUUUUUUACUGAUAAGAAGUCUAGCUUGUUUGUAACUCAUGUGAAACUUAUAUUUUUUUGUUUCUUAUCCCUAAUUAAUGUAUGACAUUCUUACUUUUUAUGUUUAUUCAUCGUUAUAGAAAUGAAAUACCAACAGAUGGCAUUGUUACUCUAUGUUUUAUUGCAUAAUUUAUCUUUUAAUUUAUUGUGUUUAUGUUAUGUUUAUUAAAUUUGUAGUCAUAAUUUAUGUUACUCUUUACUCUUGCUGCGUUAUUUCGAUACAUAAUAUAUUCUUGUUGAAAUAAACAACUACUUCUUCAAGGAUAAAUCAUGAUUGCUCCAUAUUUUCAAUACAAAAUAUAUUCUUGCUUUGAAAUUGGAGUACUAUUCAUUCUGCAUACACAGGACUUGCUUGUCCAUCGUGUAACUUUGGAACUACUUCUCUCCGUCUUAAAGCUAGCCGUAAAUGGUGUUUUAUGGGUCAUCGUCGUUUCCUUAACCAGAGACAUAGGUUUAGAUUGAAUAGGAUCCAUUUUAAUGGUGAACAAGAAAUACGGAGUCCACCGAGAACAUUAUCUGGACAUCAAAUUUUUGAACAGGUUAAAGAGGUUAAAGUUGUCUUUGGUAAAAAUCCAGUGAAAGAAAAAUCGGUAAAAAGAAAACAUGAGGGACAACCUGUAGAAGGUGAUAGUACACAAUGUGAUCCUACACAAGGUCAUCCUCAACAAUGGAAAAAGAAAAGCAUAUUUUUUGAGCUUCCGUGUUGGAAGGAUAAUCUUCUGCGCCAUAAUCUUGAUCCGAUGCAUAUUGAGAAAAUGUAUGCGAUAAUGUCAUAUUUACUUUACUAAAUGAUAGGCAAAAGAGUAAAGACCAUUUUAAAGCUCGAGAAGAUCUUCAAAAUAUGGGCAUAAGAUCUAAUCUUUGGCCUGAUGAAAAUGGUAUAAUUUCUCCUGCGGCCUUUAGUCUAACGGGUAAAGACAAAAGGAUUUUUUUAACAAUUUAAAAGAAUAUUAGGGUGCCUGAUGGUUAUUCAAGCAACAUAUCUAGAUGCAUUGACUUGGUAAAUCUCAAGGUGAAUGGAAUGAUGAAGAGUCAUGAUUGUCAUAUAUUAAUGGAACAACUUCUACCAUUAGCCAUUCGCACAACAUUACCUCAUGAGAUUUCAGCAGUAUUGAUUGAGUUGUGCUCAUUCUUUAGACAACUAUGUGGUAAGGCAUUGAAAAUUGAAGACUUGGAAAAAAUGCAAAACCAAAUUGUCCUCACUUUAUGCCACAUGGAAAUGUUAUUUCCUCCCUCGUUCUUCACUGUUAUGGUUCACUUGGUUGUUCACCUUGUUGAAGAGGUUAAGCUUGGAGGUCCUGUUCAUUAUCGGUGGAUGUAUCCUGUUGAAAGGUAAACUAUGUGAAUUUGUUGUAAUGAUAUUAACUUAGAAAGUAAAGUAAAAAAAUUAACUAAUACAAUUUUGGUUCAAUAAUAGGUACUUGGGAAAACUUAAAUCGCAUGUGCGUAAUAAGGCAAAACCAGAAGGGUCUAUUGCAGAAGGAUACCGUUUUGAAGAGAUUCUUACAUUUUGUUCAAGAUAUAUAGAAAACAUUGAGACUAGAUGGAAUCAACCUGGACGUGUAGAUGAUGAACCUAUUGGUGAUAUCCAAACAGGUUCACGUGUAACCGAAUUAUUUCCUAGAGUCGGAAAACAUGUGGGUGGAUCUUCAUAUUACACCCUAACACCAAUUGAAAAGUUGCAGGCUCAUAGACACGUUUUAACGAAUUGUCCAAUAGUUGAUGACUAUCUAAAGUAAGUAGUUUUAUUCCAUUUAAGUUGUUUCAUCUACACUAUUAAGAUUUCUUUUUACAUCUAAUAUCGAAUAACCAAAUAGGCAGUUCCGAAGUAUUACUCAGAACCAAAUGAGACGCGGUCAAAGAAGUGCUUCUGAGAUAGACAAGAAGGUUCAUAGAGAGUUUGCUCAUUGGUUCCGCAAUUGUGUGAGUUUUCGUACAAAAAUAGAUGUUUGUAUUGAAUUAGUUUUUAAUAACAAGACUAAUUGGAUGUUGUAUCGUGUAUAGAUUUGCAACAAUCUUGACAACAUUGAUGGACCAGAUAAAGAUGUCCUCAUUAGUCUUGCUCAUGGCCCUUAUGAUAAAGUUAAAAGGUUUACCGCAUUCAAUGUCAAUGGGUUCAAGUUUCGAACGUUGGAACGAGACAAUCUUUUAAAAACUCAAAAUAGUGGAGUUUUUGGCAUGUUUGGGACACGAAGUUAUUCAAGCAAUAGUGAUACCCAAAUGAGAUUUGGAGGGGUGCCUUAUUAUGGAAGAUUGAUAGACAUUAUUGUGCUUUCCUAUGAUGGCUUCAUAGUGCCCAUGUUUAAAUGUGAAUGGGCUAAUACCAUAAAUCCAAGAGGCAUUAAGAUAGAUAAGUUGGGUUUUACCUCUAUAAACUUUGCAAGACUACUCCAUACUGAGGAACAUGAAGAUAAUGAGCCAUACAUUCAAGCGUCAGAAGCUCAUAUGGUUUUUUAUGUGGAUGAUGAGAAUGAACAAGGAUGGAGCAUACCUGUUCAUUUGAAGCCAAGAGAGUUGUAUGACAUGGGUGGAAAUGAUGAAAUUAUGACACCCAUUGAGCCAUACCCAUCACAAAAUUUGGAACAAAUUUUUUCUAAUGAUGAUCCUGGAACUUCAGUGGCGAAUGAUAACAAUAAUUAAUAUAUAGUUUUUUAUUGAUAAGAAGUCUAGCUUGUUUGUAACUCGUGUGAAACUUAUGUUUUUUGUUUCUUAUCCCUAAUUAAUGUAUGACAUUCUUACUUUUUAUGUUUAUUCAUCGUUAUAGAAAUGAAAUACCAACAGAUGGCAUUGUUACUCUAUGUUUUAUUGCAUAAUUUAUCUUUUAAUUUAUUGUGUUUAUGUUAUGUUUAUUAAAUUUGUAGUCAUAAUUUAUGUUACUCUUUGUGUUUAUGUUAUAUUUACUAAAUUUGUAGUCAUAAUUUUUCUUGCAGUUGAUGUUUGUUGUGAAAGAAUGAAUUCAUCAUAUGAGGAUAUUCGCCGCAAAACAAUUGAAGAGAAUCAAAAAAAGAUGCAGGCUCUCAAUCUUACUAAAAUCUCUCAAUCCCUUUACAAAUCAUCUUCGUCUUCUUCAAAACCAUCAUCGGUUAGUAAUAAAUUCUCAAUACUACUCUAUACAAAUUAAUUGUAUUGAUUGUUGACUAAUAUUCACUGAUGCAUUUUAUUUAGUCUGUGAAGGGUCGUCCGAGGUUUGUACAACCUGGAGAGCUUGAAGUAAACAAGAAGCGCCUACGUUCAACGACAACUCAAAAAUCAUCAAUAGCCUCUCUGCCAAUCCAAACUACAAUAACCCCUACACCAAUCCAAACUACAAUAAUCCCUCCACCAAUCCAAACUACAAUUGAAGAUGUUGUGGUAGAAGAUGAGACUGAAAAUGUUGUGGUAGGAGAUGAUACUGAAAAUGUUGUGGUAGGAGACGAGACUGAAGAUGUUGUGGUAGAAGAUGGGGCAGAAGAUGUCGUUCGAGUCACUAGUUCUGAGUAUUGGGAUGUAAAUGUUAUUAGUAAGUAAGUUAAGGUUAAAGUAUCUGUAAAUAAUUUUUUUUUUUUUACAUAGUUGAGUUAUGACAUUAAUUUAUUUACUUUUUUAUGUGAUAGAUGAGGAGGGUUAUGUUUCAAACACACGUUUAUGUGUGAAAGACUUGGUUGCAAAAUCAAAGCCGGGUGGAACAUGGAUAAUACUUGAAUGGGAUAAGACUCAUCGUGCAGUAGGACCAGCUGGUUUGUUAGCAGAGUAUUUGGGAAUAAUUAUUAGAAUGUUUAAAGACUUUCCCAUAAUGUUCGAGAGUUGGAGGGAUAUUCCAUUGGAUAGAAAAACAAAGUUUUAUGAUUCAAAGAUAAAGGUAUCAUUAAUAAACAAUUAUAUUUUUUUUAAAAUUAAUUUCAUGGUGAUUAUUAUUUGCUUUGUUCAACUAAUUUUUAUUCUUAUGGUUAGCGCCAUUUUGUUGCUGAUGAUGGGCAUGACAAAGAUUACAUACUUGCUUCUGCUGCAAAGAAAUGGAAGGAUGAUCGUUGCCAAUUAUUUCAAAGAUUUUAUAGAUGGGAUCUCACUUUAGAGGAAAAUCUUCAAAAUUAUCCAAAAUGCAAAGGCAUUACGGAAAAUGAUUGGGUUGUUUUUGUUCAAUAUAGGCGGAAAGAAAAAACCCAGGUAAUAUUAGUGUUUUACUUGUAUAAUUUUAUUUUUAAUAUAUAAGUAAGGAAUUGUAUCUUAUUCCUAUCUAUAACGCGUAUUUUUAUUUGUUAUCAAUGUAGAGAAUAGCAAAACAAAAUGCCGAGAAUAGAGGAAAAUUGAAGACUCCGCAUACACUUGGAUUUAAGUCGCUUGCAAGGAAGCAACAUGAGUUGGUAUGUCUAAAUCUAUAUAUUGUUGAUUGUAUAAUUAAUAGUAUAAAUUAUUAAUAUCUGUUCUUAUUUGUAGGAAUCAAGAGAUGGUCGAUCAUACAGUAGAGGAGAAAUGUAUGCAAUUUCUCAUAAAAAGUCUAAUGGGUCUUUUGUCAAUGAAGAUGCAUACAACAAUAAUGUAAGUACAAGUUAAUUCUUUUGAAAUAUUUCUUAGUCUCCUUAAGGUUUGAGAAAAAAAUCAAACCUUUUGGCAUCUUAUAGAGGUGGGGAGAACCUGUCUGAAAACUGGUUAAGUUAUGUUAAAAAUUAUGAUUAUUUUUUCUAUAGUUACUUUGUCUCAUGAUAUAUUUAAUUUAUGCUUAGACAAUUCAGUUGUGUUCUACUAAGUAACUUAGGAACUAAAUGAGUGGCCGUUGUAAUACUAAGUAACCUAGUGGUGAUUUUAAUUUUAUGUACUAUUAUAAGCAUACAACAAAGUAGCCACUGUAAUUCUAUCAAACUCAUUUCCCAUAUAUUAGCAUUUUUCAACUUAAGAUAUACAUUUUUCAAUCAUUUCCAAGUAACUGAAACAGUAGCAACUUAAAAUGUAUUUAAAAAAUACACUUAUGGACAUUACUGUUACAGUAGCAACUUAAGAAAUACACUUAUGGACAUUACUUUUUAAAUAUUCAAAAUAUAUUUAACUUCCGUGUAUUCAAUUUCUAUGUUCAAUACGCAUAUGUGUUUUUCUUUGACCAUAUAGUACAUAAAUUAGUAUAUAAAUCAAUAUAAUAUAUAUAUAUAUAUUCAUAAGUUCCUAUAGUACAUAAAUGGGGGUUUAGAAAAGUGCAUGCACUAUUCUCAUAUCACAUAUAGCAGCGAAUAGUGGAGUUGGUCUUAAAUACUAUGUUGAGAAAAGUGCAAUCAGUGGACUAUGUAUUUAAAAAAAUACUUUGGUAUGAAAGUGUAAUGUACUAGAACUUGUAUUUUAUAAAUAAUUUGGUAUGAAAGUGCAAUGUAUUGGAACUUAUUACUAAUAUAAAUUAUCCUUAUUAUAUAAACAGUAGUUCAGUUUUCUCUUUUGCAUGUGCAGGAAAAAUUACAAGCUGCAAUUAAGGAUUCCGUGUCUGAAAAUGAGGCAUUUGAGAAAGUAUUUGGAAAAGAACAUCAUGGAUAUGUUCGUAGCAUGGGACUUGGAGUUACGCCAUCUCAAAUUAAUAGAUCUACGAGAUCAUCGUCUUCUUUUGAAGAAAAUGAAAAAAUAAAGGAAAUGCAAGAAGAAAUUAAUGCACUUAAAGAAAAGAAUUCAAAAAUUGAUGAAUUGAUGGAGGCAAUCGCAUUCUUAAAGCAAAGGGACAAUGCUAGGAAGGAGGAAAUUGAACUCUUAAUGCAAAUGCAAAAUUCUAGUGGAAGACAUGUAUAUCAUUUUGAUGCAUUUGAAGUUAAAUUGCAUGAGCAUUAUUUUAAAGAGUAUUAUUUUAAUAUAUAUUUUUUUCAGGGAUUGGAAUCACCUGUUGAUGGAAGACGUUCUUCUGAGUCUAGCUACCGAAUUGCAGAUAAUGGAUCAUCAAGAAGGACAAAUUAGACUUUUCUAUGAAUCAAUUAGAUUAUGAACGUUCCCUUAUAUUUUUGGCAAUAGGAUGCUUAUUAUUAUAAGAUUAUGAUUUGAUAUCUUUUUUUGGUUUUUUGUACUACAUGACAUGAUUAUGGAGCUACCAUUUUUUUGAUAUCAUGAUGCUUAUUUGAUAUUACAUGUUUUUUAUUGGAAUUAAUUUUACUACGUUAAAAAGUGAUAGAAAAUAAAAUAAAAAGAUAAAGAAAUAUUACAAAAAAAUAAUACCAUAAAUAAAAAUAUUUUAGUAGAAAUAAUUUAAAAAAAUAUACUAUAUUUAAAAAUAUUUUAGUAGAUAAUAAUUAAAAAACAAAAAAUAUUAUAAAAAAAUAAUACUAUAGAUAAAAAUUAAUAAUGGUUUACACUGUUGCUAAAAGUAAAAAUUAAAUAAUUAGUACAACUUUCAAUUGUUGCCAAAUAAAUUUUAUUUAAAAUUUUUAAAUCAAAACAUAAUUCCACGACGGUUGGUAACCGUCAAGAUGUGACACCCAUGAGGGUUUGAAACCGUCGCAAUCAACAAUGAAAACAAAAAUCAAAACGAAAUUCCACGACGGUUGGAAACCGUCGCAAUAUUCAAGUUACAUCAUUUCUCUAACUGUCGUGAGAAAGAACGACGGUUGGUAUGACGGUUUUGACAAUCGUCGCAAUAUAGCCUCGCGACGCACGUUUCUGGGACAGAGCUACACCCGUCGUAACAUGAUAAUUGCGGCGGUUCUAACCGUCGUAACUUGUCAAAAUGAACCGUCGCAAUUUGCUAAUUUUCUUGUGGUGUGGUCCUCCCUAGGCCUUAAAACUAAGGGUUACUUGCAGGAUCGACCAGUUGAUCCUAAGACAUGUGCUAGUGUGACAGGGUAACUUAUUCAAUUCGACAGACUAUUAACUUUGUGAGAAACGACUUCUGACAAAGUAUUGAACAAGUACAGGUUUUUUCCACACAAAAUGAUGAUGAUGCUAUAGACUAUGGGUGACUCGUGACCGACAACACUAUAACAUUCAAAAGACGUACACGACGAACACGCUUUUGGUGAAUUCUAUUAUCGUAAUAAAAUCAGUGUCGACAGCGUAAACGACAACAUAAAAUGAUAACUCAAACGUAAAUGAAAUUAAAAUAAAGUGUUUAACGGGAACAAUUGAAAAAUAAGGAAGUUGCAUUGAAAUAAAUGUGGUGAUUCACGUACAUAUCACUCUUAAAAACUCUUGCUUCCUCGCGCUGGGAAUGUGAAGUUUUUUACAAGUGAUUUUAGUACAAAGUGAACACCCCGAGUCCUCGGUGGGAUCCCCUAUUUAUAAUAAACUAAAGAAACUGCCUAAAAGCAAAACUUCUAAAAAAUAACAGACGUCGUGCCACACGAUCUACAAAACUGCUCCAUAUCCUGACGCUUACUCUCCCUGUAACUGCUAGUCAUUUUGAAUUUCAAACUUCUCCCGCUCAGGUAUUUAGGUCGACACCAUCUCCUAUGUGUUUGACACAACCAAGAAUUUCUUAAGUCCCAAUCUUCAGUUCAGUCGACACAAACUUCUCCCGCUCAGGUAUUUAGGUCGACACCAUCUCCUAUGUGUUUGACACAACCAAGAAUUUCUUAAGUCCCAAUCUUCAGUUCAGUCGACAGAAUGGAUUUCGACCAAACAUGAUUCUUCUAUCGGUUGCAUCUUCUAGUAACUUGUGGUUUUCUCAGCUCUUGUUUAUCUUGGGAUUUCAAACCUCCCCUUGGUGGGGUAUAAUCCUUAAAUACAUAAGGCACUUUCAUUGAUUACGCCUUCAACAUGCCCUAUCAAUUUCUUGUGGUAACAAAAUGCCCCCUAGAGAUGCCAUUUUCGAAUGUCGACUUUUUGUGAGAUAAUGACAUCUUUGAGAUGUCAACUUGUUCUUUACCGCUUCCACUUCUACUUAGUGGUACACCUGUUUGUGCCACGCUGUUGACGUUAUCUAAUCAUGACAAACGUCUCCUUUUUUCCUCGAGACGCAUAAAAUCACGUCUCCAUCACUUCACGUCUUUAUGACGAAAACGUGUUUACCACCAUAACUGCCUCUUCGCCUCCACGUGUCUGCAGACGUGGGAAUAUGGGUACAUGUGUCAAAAAGGAAAAUCAAGCGUUCACUCUUCCUUUUCCUAGGGUUUAACUCUUAUAAAACCCUUGUUUCUUCUUCUUCUUUCCUUUUUUCGGCCUCUGCUUCAGUAAACAAAAACAACCUUUCUUCUCCAAACCUUCAACUUCUUCCAUGGCUAGCUCAAGCAAAAGCAAAACACUUCCCUCCGCUGUGAAGCUCACACAACCACUCACCAUUGAUGGCAAGGAAUACAUUCCUGAACCUCCCUUUGCUGAAGAGAAAGCCAAAAUCUGGCGUUCCCAAGUAUUAAUCCCUUUCUCCCUGUCUGACAAACCUUUAGCAUUCUUAGGUCCACUUCCAGAAAAUUGUUGUCCUGAGAUAACCAAGACAAACUCCUUUUUCCCCACCAGUCAUCUUUCUGAACCUCUAGUUUCUUCUCAAAGACCUUUCUCCCUUCGUUAUGUCGAAAGGAAUUUUAUGACUGCUCCUCCCAAGAACUGUCCUAAGUUUUGCGCUUGGAUGGAUCGUUUAGAAACAGAAAAAAUCGACCACUGGAAACGGAUAGGUAUUUAUACCCUUCUGCAGAUUGCCCGUUGUGCCCCCCCUCAAUCUUGUGGCAUGUUGCUGGCUGCCCUCCAAUUUUGGGACAGGUCGACCAAUUCUUUUCAUACAAAAUGUGGCAUGAUUACACCGACACUCUUAGAUAUUACUGCCAUUACAGGCUUAAAACCGACCAGCGAAGUCUUCGACUGUGAAGCCGUAGCACCAGUCUCUCUAAGGUUUGACGUUGGAGAUUCUCGGAAGCCGACAUAUAAUAACUUUAUCGAUCAUCAUGCUACAUCUUCAGGCCCUGUGACCACUGAAGAACAUGUGGCCUUUUUAACUCUUUGGCUGUCUCGUUUUGUGUUCUGCUCUAGAUCGAUGCAGAUAGCCAAACAUUUUGCUCUUCUGGCAACUCAGCUACACCAAGAACGUGACAUCGCUCUUGGCCAAUUCAUACUGGCCUCUCUUUAUGAAUCUUUAUUCGAAGUUGUCUGCCAAAUCAAACUCUUUGACCCUGAGAACUCAAAGAAGAAGAAUGUUUUGGCCCACGGUCCUUUUUGGCUCCUACAACUGUGGCUUAACACCACUUUUUCUAAAGACAUAACGUCCCAUGGGAUGAGAAGGGUUGUGUGUCCCCCAGAAGAACGACACCUUUUUUGGAAGCGAUUAAUCCCUUUGACGCCCAUCAACAAAACCUUUCCUAACGUCAAUGUGUUUCGCCUCUUGUUUACCAUCAUGUUGACUCGCGCCGACUUUCACCCUUCUAUGGCUCCUUUCAGUAGUCGGACUGAAGGUCCUGAAUGGCUCACCAGGGCUUUUCCUUCGAGUGAAGAUGAGCAUAAAAAUGAAACCUUUGUUAUCUGGAGACGUUUUCUGGUCCCCCAAUUUCUGUCGGUUGUAACCUCCGGCACCAACCUUGGCCUAAUUGCUUACCAACCCAACUUGGUAGCCAGAGAAUUUGGACUUUGUCAGUUUGUCCCCAAGUCCCUGUAUUCUUCUCUCGACAUACUCACAAAUAUCCUUUGUGAUCAACCCUGGAGUAUGAUCCAAGAAGAUAUUUAGGCCCUUUGGGAAAACCGACCAAGGCUCCAUUCUAUACCAUUUCAACCAGCCUUCUUCUGCACCAAGGAAUUUGAUGAUUGGUGGCAAUCAUAUCUUGUUGCUUACGUUGGUGCUCUUGAGGCCAAAUUAUCUGAACUAACUCAGACUCUUAUUUAUUUGCAGGCGAAAUCGAUCAAGUGUAAGGCUCUCCAUGCCAAACAAAUUCAAGCUUUUCAGAACUAUUUCCGAGUUAUGUAUCGACCUGAUAAUCUUCGUCGGACCAUCUCUGAGGCCGCGUCCGAAUUAAAGGAAAAGGUAACCGACAGGCUCCCAAAACUUAAAAUCCCUGGUUACGCGAAACACAAGUAUCUUUACGCCCUUCAUUUUGGAAACAUCAAAUUCCCUCCUUUGCCAUCUAGCCCAUUGGCUUUGGCCUUUGGCAAUUCAAUUCCAGAUUGGUAUUAUUGUCCCUUUUCAGACAUGCAAAAUGCUUAUAAGAAAAAGGCUGAUAGAGUGGUACCGACGAAGCAUUAUCUACCCUACUACUCAGGGCCACUUCAUAUUGAUCCUCAAUAUGUUAGAGUGCUCGAUUCCACACAAAUUGGUAACACUUUUCUGGAAAGCUAACACCUCCUUUUAUUUAGAUUUUGUCGCUUACUUGAUUUUCUAUGUUUCUUUACAGCAAUCCCCAUAGACCCUGUGGAUCACGUUUCUGCCAAUGAACCUAUCCUUUCGACACAAUAGACUCAGGUUCAACUCUGGCUGAUUUUCCGUUUUCUUUUACUUUGGUAUUUAUUCUUAACUGUCAUUUCCCCUCUUGUAGGCUGCUCCUAAGAAGUCCUCUGAUGAUGAUGAGCGACUUAUUGCCCAAGUUUUGAAAAAACCCAGUUCUUCGGUAUGCACCUAUAUAUAGCAAUCUCACUCAACCCUAUGAUUCCUCUAAGUAAAACAAUGCGUGGUCUCUAACUUCUUACUUAUGUGCAGGGUCAACCACGUUCGACAGAUCCACUUGUCUCUUCUCAAUCCAAGAAAUCCAAAAAACAUAAAUGUUCUGUUGCCAAAGGACCUGAGGUAUUUCUUGUCGGCUUGUCUGAUCUUCUGACUAGAAUAUCUGCUUAUAACCUCUCUUCAUGUCUUCAGCCGACUCCACCGCCGACUCAACCAUCUUCUCAACACUCCCACAAAUCCAAAGGCCACCAGGGCCAUAAAAGGAAGAAGCACGAUUCUCCCUCUAGGAGUGGUGAAGCCAAGAAGAAAAAAACACCACAAAGUGCUCACUCCAAAGGCUCAUUCUCUAGAUGCCGACGCUAUUGUGAUAGACACGUCUAUCCUUAAUAAAGUCCCUGAUCCAGCUGUGGGAACUUCGAAGUCGACCAGCACCCCUAUUGCUGCUGUCUUUGAGGAAGAAAAUCUGGAUGUCGUUCUCCUUACACCGACACAGGUAAUCACUUGUUUUAUUAUCUUUUUCCUUGAAUUACUGGACUUUUCUUACAAACAUCUUUUUCUCCAUCUCACCAAGCACCCUCUGUCGACACUGCUGGUGAGUUUAUUGGCUUCCCUAUCCAAAUUAGUGAUAGUGACUCUGAUUCAGUCACUAGCCCUGCAACGCACACAAAUUCCAAUUCGACUAGUUCUGACUCUAGUCUUUCUUCAGCUUCAUUGCCUUUGCAGGAUUCAAGGGGACCAAGGGAUGUUGGCAUCACAAAAACCCAACCUUUUCAAACUACUCCUCUAUCAACUACUUCCCCUUCAUCUUCCCAGGGGCUGGCAAUAAAGCCUUCUGCUCUAGAAGCAAUUGCUAGGCUUCGUAGCCUAGUAAGAUCACGUGAUGCUUCUUCAGGUUCUGAGCAACUUCACCAUUUUGGUAAGGUGGGUUCUGAAGCGACAAAGGUCAAAGCUCUAAUGGACAAGGUUUGUUUUCACGCCUUGAAUCCAGAUCUCCCCCAUGUGCUUAUGAGUGAACCUGUUGUCGGCCCAGAACUCUUGCAUGUGCUUGCCCAACUCAAAGAGCUUCAGCUUUCUGAGUAUGCUAAGUGUGCAAUGGCCGCUUUAGAAAAACUUCUGGUUCCCAUGCUGCGCCAUCUCGACAACGUUAGGGAAAAUGAACACCAAAUUAUAACUACUGAGGCCUUUGUGAAGGAGAAAUAGGAGUCCGUGAUGAAGGCCGACGAAGAGGUCACCAAAAUGUUGGGAAUGAUUGAGGAGAAGAAAAAGGAAUUGGCCUCUAAACAAACAAGAGCUGCUGAGAUCCGCCAGCAAAUUGAUGACCUUCGGCGUCAAAUUGCUGCUUUGGACAAUGAGUUGGAGUCAAUUACUGAGGAGGAAUCGUGUAUUGUCGACAAGGUUAUAAAGCCGGCCCAAGAUACUGUGGAGCAGACCACCAACAAUGCCUUGGCUGUAGCUGAAGAACUUUUCAACGUUGAAAAAAAGCUUGAACAACUUAAAGUCCAGGCCGACAACUUGGAACCUAAGUCUUUACACUACAACCUCGAGCUUCAAUCUUUUCAGUCUAGAUUCGGUCAACUUUAACCGAUUUUAUUUUUGAUGUAAUAUUUGCACAAUGGCUUUUUUGCCAAUUUUUAUGCCAUUAUUUUAUUUUUCAGCACUGUGUACAUUUAAUUUCCUGUGCUUUUAUAGCUGGUUUCAAACAUAGUUUUCUCCAACCUAGUUUAUUCAACAGCCAUUUAGCCUGUCAAAAUCUUGACCUCUUGAAGGAGAGGCCUAUACUUUUUUAAGUAUUUUACAUUUACCCUUAAGAUUCGCCUAUCUGGUGCCAACUCUUCGACCUCGUAUGUUAUUAGAGAAAGCCUGCAAAACCUUAAACGGUCCUUCCCAAUUUGGGGACCAUUUGCCCAAAACUCUAUCAUUUCUAUCUAUAGGCAAGAUCACUCUCCAAACUAAAUCGUCGACAACGAACAUUUUGCCUUUCACCUUCUUAUUGUAGGCUUUGGCGACUUUUUCUUUCUGCCUUUGUAGUGAAUCAAAGGCUAAUAUUCUCUCCUUAUCUAAAUCGACCAAUUCGUCUGCCAUCAUGCUCCAAUAAUCUUCAGAAGGUAUUUCAUGUUGCCUUUGGAUUCUAACUGCAUGAACCUGAAUCUCUACUGGUAACACUAUGUCAUGCCCAUAUACCAGUCGAAAUGGAGUUGUUCCGGUUGCCUCUUUUGGCGACGUUCGACAUGCCCACAAAGCUUGAUCUAACGUCUUAUGCCAAUUUCUUGGCUUCUUGCCUACAUGUUUCUAUAUUAAGCUAAUGAUCACUUUAUUGGCCGCUUCGACUUGACCAUUUUCCUGUGCGUAAUAAGGGGUAGAAGUCAAUAAUUUGAUUCCCAUAUCUUUUGUAAAAUCUUGCAUCUUUCGACCAGUAAAAACUGAUCCUUGGUCGGUUGUAAUUGUUUUCGGGAUACCAAAUCUGUAUAUGAUGUGACUUUGGACAAAGUCUAUCACAGCCUCUUGAUCCACGUUUGUCAAUGCCACGACUUCGACUCAUUUUGUGAAAUAGUCGAUACCGACCAACACAUACCUUUGAUGUUUCGAUGAAGCUGGUUUUAUUUCUCCAAUCACGUCCAAUGCCCACCCUCGAAAAGGCCAGGGUUUCACAAUUGUAUGCAACUCGCUUGCAGGCACAUGUUAUAUGCCCCCAUGCAAUUGGCAUUCUUGACAACUUUUAGAAAAUUCAAUGCAAUCUUUCAACAUUGCAGGCCAAUAAACUCCUGAGCGCAUCAAAAGUCGUUUCAUCUUCGGUCCCGCUUGAUGCGCCCCACACGCUCCACUAUGUACACUCGACACAACCACAUAUGCCUCACUUUCUCCCAGGCAUUUUAGCAAAACUCCUUCAGCUGUCUUUUUGAACAAUUCAUCAUUCACCAGGACAUAGCUGAGGGCCCUAUAUUUCACCUUUCGAUCUGUCGACCCUAUAGGAUUACACAAAUAAUCGACUAACAGUUUACGCCAAUCAUUUUCUCCCUCGUCGUCGACGGUCAGAAUUUUAAAAUGAUAUCUAUCUACAACUCCUAACUUUAAUCGACAAAUCUGAUGGUGAUAACAAUGUCGCUCGUACCUUCUCUCUUACUUGAACCUCUUCUUCAUCCUGGUCUUUUGACGCUUUGUACCCUGAAGCUUCCUGCGCCAAAUCGUUUGCUCUCUGGUUCUCUUUCUGUGGUAUAUGCUGGAGACUUACUUUCUCAAACCUUUUGAGUAGUCUGAUGGUAAUCACAAAAUACAUGAUUAAAUUUUCUUUGACACACCUGUAUUCUUUUGAUACCUGCUUAAUUACUAACUCAGAGUCUCCCAUAAUUUCGACAUUCCUUGCCCCCAAUUCUAGCAGAAGGUAAUCACAAAAUACAUGAUUAAAUUUUCUUUGACACACCUGUAUUCUUUUGAUACCUGCUUAAUUACUAACUCAGAGUCUCCCAUAAUUUCGACAUUCCUUGCCCCCAAUUCUAGCAGAAGUUUACGUCUUGUGAUCAAUGAUUCAUAUUCUGCUUCAUUGUUUGUGCAUACUCCUUCAAUUCUGUAUUUGAACUCUGCUAGAAUUCCAUUUGGAGAAAUUAUGACUCCCCCAUCCCAUAUCCGUUCUUAUGUCUUGAACCGUUGAAGUACAAUCUCCAUGGCACUAUGUCUACAUAAUUUUGAGCCAUUUCUACCAUUGAAUGGUCGACAAGGAAAUCUGCCACCACUUGCCCUUUCAUCGCUCUUAAAGGCACGUACGUCAGAGAAUACUCAGUUAACGCUAAAGCCCAUUUACCGAUUCGACUAUGCAAAAUUGGUUUAGACAACAUGUGCUUAAUAAUAUCAAAGUGAGAAGAUACAUACACAUCAACAGGCUUAAUAUAUUGCUUUAGUUUCAUACAAGAAAAAUAUAGGCACAGGCAUAGUUUUUCUAUAUCACUAUACCUAGUUUCAGGAUCAUUAAGCAUUCAACUAAGGUAAUACACAAGUCUUUCGACACAUUUUUCAUCCUCUUGGACUAACAUACUUCCUAUAGUCGAUUAUGAAGCUUCAAUAUACAACCUCAUUGGCCUAUUCCUGACAGGAGGGGCCAGUACUGGAGGCUUAGUCAAAUAUUCUUUAAUUUUGUCGAAAGCCUCUCGGUGCUCUUCUUGCCACUUAAAAUCCUCAUUCUUCAGUCGAAGGAGUGGUGAAAAAGCUUUAGUUUUACCACUUAAAUUUGAUAUAAAUCUUCUAAGAAAAUUUAUUUUGCCCAACAAAGAUUGCAGUUCCUUUUUGGUCGACGGAGGCUUGACGUCCAUAAUGGCUUUUGUUUUGCUUUGGUUUAUUUCAAUACUUUUGUAUGCACCACAAGCCCAGGAAAUCACCGCAAUGCCACAAAAGCCAACCUUUUUGCGAUUCAUUUUCAAUCCAUAUUCUUCCAUCCUUUGAACGGCCUUCGGAGAUGUUCGACGUGAGUGAGAUCGAACCAUUUAUUUUAUCAUACUUCAAUAAAAUCAUGGAACAUUGAGUUCAUUACCCUCUGAUAUGUCGCUCCGGCAUUUUUCAGGCCGAAUGGCAUGACAACCCACUCAUAUGUACCUAAGGCUCCUGGGCAUCGAAACGCCAUCUUCGGCACAUCUUCCUCUCAGAUUUUAAUUCUUUGUCGAUGUUGGCACUGAUGUAUGUUGGCCUUUUGUCGCCAUUUUCGCCAAGGUCGACUUCUUCUAAGGGGUCUUUUGGUCGCAUCUUUUCUGGCGCCUUCGGAUCUUUUUCAAACCCUAAAGGUUCAUCGUCAUAAAUGCAGUCCAAACACUGCAUGUUGACGUUUCCUUUAGCCAAAGCUGGCUUAUCUGGAGGCUCUGGCUCAAUAGCCAAAUUACCUUCUUUCUUUAAAACAUAGGCUUCGACAGCCACGUUUUCUUCAGCAUCUAGGGCCGAUUUUAUUUUGUUCUCGGCAACGUAUACCGAAAUCCUUUUUAGAGAUUCUAGCUCAGUCAUCAUUAGUUAUAUCCCCCCAGCCUGUCGGCCAGAUAUCUGCAUAGGGUGGAUCAUCUAAAUGUUCCACAUCCCAAAUGAAGCCAUGAGUCUCGUGCAAAGUUAGAGAAACAAAAGCUUCACUAAAAUUAGCAUACACAUCCUCAGCUGGUAAACAAGGAGAAAUGCUAGCCAGCUUUCUCUCGAACUCCUUCUUGUCGACAUUGUUCACGUCAGUCAUGAAGUAACCUUGAUCAGCUUCGAUAUUUUCGACCACUCCAUCUUCUCUCCAAAUCACCAAUCUUUGAUGUGCUGAAGAUGGUACAACUCCGACACCAUGGAGCCAUUCUCUGCCGACUAGCAAAACUUGAUCAGCUUCGAUAUUUUCGACCACUCCAUCUUCUCUCCAAAUCACCAAUCUUUGAUGUGCUGAAGAUGGUACAACUCCGACACCAUGGAGCCAUUCUCUGCCGACUAGCAAAUUGUAACUUGGCUUGGCAUUUAUUACCAUAAACAAUGUCGGCCUAGUUAUUGAACCAACAGUGAUAUUCACCAUGAUCACACCCAUUGUGCUUUUUGUUUUGCCCCCGUAGUCAGACAAGACCACGUUGUUGGAUCUAACAUCAAUAUCAUACUUGCCAAUCUUCCUCAGAAUAUGGUGUGGCAUGAUGUUAACAGUGGCGCCACAAUCUACCAACACUUUGUUGAUGGUCACACCUUCCACUUUGACCCUAAUCAACAAAGGUUUCAAAUGACUUUUCAUAGUCAUCGUGGGCCUCUCAAAAACUGCUUCUUGGCUCCCAGCAGAACCAUCAUUCAACACAAAGUAACAUCUUGGCUUAUGUAAUGCCAUUUCUUCAGCGUCGGCAUCAUCUACCAAAUCCUCCACCUCAGUCACACAAUUAUAUUCCUGUGGUAGAAUUUCCACCACGUUGACUAAGAUGUCCAAACUCGCUUUUGAUUCUGAAUUGAAGUCAUCAGUAACCUCAUCAGAACAUUUUUCAGUUGGUCGACGGACAUACUCCCUGAUCCGUUCUUUAGCUGCCGUGUCGACCUUCAAAACAACUUUCUUUCCAGGAUUCGCCCCACUAGCCAUGCCUUUUCCAACUAUUCCUCUAGCAGCCUCUCUUUCAGCCUGCUUACAACGCUGAAAGCGUCUCCAUUGAGUUCUGGACAUGAGGUUCUUCCCCAAAUAAUUUUCAGAAACAUGAGUCCUUUUCUCAGACUUGAACUCACGCCUGUAGUUGAUUGCUAAACCUCCUCUAGCAGCAGCAACACCUUAUGGGGUUUCUUGUUUUCCCUGAGGCUUGAUCCAGGUGCCUCUAGGAGCACUUGCCGAUGGUACGAAGCUCCUAGGCCUCGCCUGAGCAUUUUCCACAUCCUUCUUUAGGAUUCUUUCAUUUUGGUUCUCUUUGUUCAGCCCACUUCUUUUGCUUUUGUCCAAUUGCAGCUUCUGGAAAUUUUCAGCAGCAACUUUGUCGGUGACAGCACCACAUCUAGGGCAUAAGCAAACUUGUGAACCCUUAUUCUUGAAGCGAUACAGGAAAUCUACCAAAUCUCCAUCAGCCCUUGGGUAGACUUCAGCUAUGUCGACAUCUGGGCUUUCCCCAGUUUGCUCUAGCAUGUCGGCCUCAUCAUAUUUAGUGAUCUCGACCAUGUUGAUCUCGACUGGCUCAACGAAUAGAGCUUCCUUCUGGUGGAGAGGGUCAACGUCGAUCUUCAUUCUGCGGCCCGCAAAUUUCAGCCUGCCUUCUUGAAUUGCUUUCUGAACCAGAUCCCUGAAAAGAUAACAAUUAGAGAUAUUAUGACCCAGAUAAUUAUGAUACUUUCAAAAUCCUCUUUUCUGUCUUUGUUCUAAUGGUGGUAUUUUAGUACCAGAUGGCACCACCAUUUGACCAUCUUUAACUAACAAAUCAAAAAUUUCCUCACACUUUGUCACGUCAAAUGUAUAAGUUUUUGAAGGGAAUUUUGAAUUGUUUUCGACAGGAUUUUUCCCUUAUGCAGGAAGUAAUAAUCGACACUCAUAAGCAGACCCUGGCUUUAACUCAGCCACGUCAAUUUUUAAUUCGGUCGAUGAGGCAUAAUCAGCCUCGUAUAUUGGAUCUAUCACGUCAUAGUCGACGAACGCUACUUUUUCUUUCUUAGCCUUAUUGUGUCUAACAUUUUCUAACCUUAGCCAUUCGAGAUGUCGAACUCUAUCAGCCAAUUGUGACAUACUCUUUACAAAAGUUGGGUCUAUUUUCUUCCUAAUGGAAUAAUCUAACCCCCUAGCAGCCAUUUGAACAAGUUCAUGUUCUGGUACUUGCGUAAAGCACCUGACCUUUAAUGAUUUGAAUCUAUUCAGAUAAUCGUCAAUACUCUCAGCAAACCUUCUCUUAAUACUAGACAAUUCUGCCAAACUAAUUUUAUAGUGUCCUUCGUAAAACUGUUCAUGGAACUUCUUUUCUAACUUGGCCCAUAAAUCAAUCGAACUUGGGGCCAAAGAAGUGAACCAUGUGAAGGCAACCUUAGUCAGAGAGGAAGGAACGUUUUUUACUCUCAAACACUCAUUAUGAGCUAAAUCUCCUUACUCCGUUAGAUAUCUGGCAAUAUGUUAUAUUGUCGACUCACCAGAUUCUCCCCCAAACUUAGUGUAUUUAGGCACUUUCAUUCCUCUAGGUGCCUCGGUUUGGAGAAUAAAUUCAGCCAACGGGGAAUCAUAUAGUGGCCUUUGCAAUGUGACACUCAUAUCAUUCCUAGCCAUAAUCCUUUCGAUAAUAGUUGUCAAAUUAUUUUCUACUGCUAAGUCUUCUUGUCGAUGUUUAUCGACAAUUUGAUCAGCAUCUUGGUGUCGGUUAACCAACACCAUCUGGUUACGUCUUUCUACUCCUGAUUCAACGUCUUGAUUUUGUUGGGGUCUAAGGAUUUGUCCCUCAUGGACUGUCUUAUCUUCUGCUGCCCCUAUCUCCACUUGAACAUGAAUGGUUUGCCUGACCACUUGUGCCAUCUGUGAGCCGGUGCCCCCAGGAAGUUACACAAGCGUGUCAAUUUAUUAGCCACCUGCCUAUUUGUUUCAGCAGAUUCCUGUAUCACAAGAUUAAAAAUUGUACCCAUUUGAUUAGUUAACAUAUUAACCAACUCAUGAUUACUAUCAUCCAUUUGCUGCCUCAACACCGCUAUUGAAGUGUUCGACAGCGGCAUGGUUCUAUUCCGAGUAUUAUUCCUAUUCUGAGCAUUGCCCCCUUGCACUGAUCCUUGUAAGGAGGGAUUCGUAUUUUGAGUGUUGUCUGAAAACAAUGCUGCAAUUGAUGUCGACUGAUAUCCUGACAUUAAGGAAUACGACAUUCCAUAAAGAGGAUAUGUGGUGCCAAAGCGAGGCACAUAAGGUCUGAACGUCGUUAUUGUUGAUCUUGAACCUCCCGAUGGAGGUAAAGGAAUUGAUGCUCCAACCGCACCCGUAGUCGACAUCGUUGUGGUUGAACUUGUCAUUGGCGGCAAAGUUGCAACCCGUGAGAUUACUGUUUCCGUAGUGGAUAAAGUCCCUUGUGGCACUUCAUCUGUAUUGGAGUUUGACAUUUUCAUAGUUUCUUGUGGCCUACUAUAUAGUUUGCCACUUCUAAGUUUCAUGCAAUUACGUAACUACACUAGCACUGGUCCCAUCGGGUGUGCCAUUUUGUUUACUGUGGAAAUUGGUAAACAACCGCUGGUCCUCCCUAGGCCUUAAAACUAAGGGUUACUCGCAGGAUCAACCAGUUGAUCUAAGACAUGUGCUAGUGUGACAGGGUAACUUAUUCAAUUCGACAGACUGUUAACUUUGUGAGAAACGGCUUCUGACAAAGUAUUGAACAAGUACAAGUUUUUUCCACACGAAAUGAUGAUGAUGCUAUAGACUAUGGGUGACUCGUGACCGACAACACUAUAACAUUCAAAAGACGUACACGACGAACACGCUUUUGGUGAAUUUUAUUAUCAUAAUAGAAUCAGUGUCGACAUCGUAGACGACAACGUAAAAUAAUAACUCAAACGUAAAUGAAAUUAAAAUAAAGUGUUCAACGGGAACAAUUGAAAAAUAAGGAAGUUGCAUUGAAAUAAAUGUGGUGAUUCAUGUACAUAGCACUCUUAAAAACUCUUGCUUCCUCGCGCUGAGAAUGUGAAGUUUUUUACAAGUGAUUUUAGUACAAAGUGAACACCCCGAGUCCUCUGUGGGAUCCCCUAUUUAUAAUAAACUAAAGAAACUGCCUACAAGUAAAACUUCUAAAAAAUAACAGACGUCGUGCCACACAAUCUACAAAACUGCUCCAUAUCCUGGCGCUUAUUCUCCCUGUAACUACUAGUCAUUUUGAAUUUCAAACUUCUCCCGCUCAGGUAUUUAGGUCGACACCAUCUCCUAUGUAUUUGACACAACCAAGAAUUUCUUAAGUCCCAAUCUUCAGUUCAGUCGACAGAAUGGAUUUCGACCAAACAUGAUUCUUCCGUCGGCUGCAUCUUCUAGUAACUUGUGGUUUUCUCAGCUCUUGUUUAUCUUGGGCUUUCAAACCUCCCCUUGAUGGGGGUAUAAUCCUUAAAUCCAUAAGGCACUUUAAUUGAUUACGCCUUCAACAUGCCCUAUCAAUUUCUUGUGGUAACAACAAUAUAUUUUCGAUUGUACAAUAUAUUUUAGAUCAUCAUCUGAACAUAGAUAAACAACACAUAACAUGAAAUACCUUUUCUGAGACGUAUCGAAGAUGUAUCUCCGGAAUAUUCACGGAGAUGCAUCUCCGAUACAAUUCAAAUGUAAAUGACUUCUAUGGAGGAUUUUUUAAAUGUUUUAAAUUGUUACGGUGAUAUAUCUUCGAAAUAUUACAACGUUCAUUCAGAAUUUGAUGUUUUCAAAGAUGUAUCUCCAAAAACUAGAAACAUUUAAAUAAUUUUAUAUGGUGACUAAGAAGUCUUAAGACGCCUUAAAAAUGCUUUUUAUUUUGUUAGGUAGUAUGUUGUUAUAUAAUUGUGAAAAAAGUUGUCAUCUAAUUUUAAUCCUAUUUUGACCCAAAUUAUUGUAUUUAUCAAAUUGUCUUAGUUAAAAUAAUAUAAAUGUGUCAUUCUUAUAUAAUUUAAUUAUUAAAAUUAAUAUCAAUCACCUUAACAAUUUUUAAAUUUAUUUAUUUAUUAUUUAUAAUAUAUAGUUGUCAAGAAAAGAAAAGUAAAAUUUCUAGACACAAAGCAAAAGAAAAAAUUACCUAAUAAAAAUUUGAGAAGGUGAGUAAUGUACUGACGACCAUGCAUCCCAUCAAAUCAAAUUAAUAAUUUUAAAAUAUUUAUAUAAUAUAUAAAAAUAAUAUAUUUUUUAUUGGAUGAGAGUGUAAGUUUUUUUACAAAGGAUCAUUAAAUCCUAAAUUUUUAUAUUCUUUAUAUAAUUUUAUUUCAGUGAUUAUGUAUCUUUUACUAGCGCGUAGAAAAAAAUCAAAUUUGAUACUAGAUACAGAUAGAUGACAUGUGACAAGGGAAAGGAGGCACGUGAGGGGAUGAGGCGUCGAAGCACGUGAACCUAGGCGGAAAUCCAACUUAAAAAUUUAGAACCCUAAUUUUAAAUCUCCACAUUUAAAAACGACACCGCUUGAAUAUUGCAAAAAUAAAUCAUUAUUAUUCAUUUUCGUUCUUUUUUCGCUCCCUUUAUUACAGCCACCGCCUUCACCUUUUUUUCCUUUCGCUCAUUCUUUCUCCAAAACCCUCUUCUUCUCUCGGUGUCUGCUAGGGUUAGGGUUAGGGUUUUACUCCAUCCUUCUUAACUUGUCUUCGUUCCUUCAUUUCUCGCAAGAUCUCUUUCCCCUCUUUCGGAAUUUUCUGUCUGAGCUCUUUCUUCAUUCCAGAUCUUGAUCUAUGGAUGCCCGCAAGAGAGGUAGACCUGAGCAUGGAUAUAACAACAAUGGCGGAUUCAAGAAAUCCAGACAAGGUUUGUUAUUUCUCUUCCUCGCUCCGUAGUUUUGCAUGGUUUAUACUCUUAAUUUGCAUGCUUUGUUUUAAACACUUACUUUCAAGCUUAUUGUGUUGUUGCGUCCUCUCUGUGUGAUGUUUUCUUCCUGAAAAAAUUUCACUUAAAACUUCAAAUUAUCAACACUUUAAUGGUAUGUUGUUGCUCAUUGGGGAGUAUACUGUGUACCUACAACUUAAUUUGUUUCAGAUUGGUCAAAAUUUUCAGUAGUUGGGGGCAAUGAAAAACCUAAUAAAUUAUAAAUUAAUGUGAUUGCCCCCCUUUCUUCGAAAUAUUAAAAUUGUGUCACUCUAAAAUUUGGAUGUAUGUAUAUAUAUUUUAAAAACUGUUAAUAGUUUUUGAGUAUAGAGUAAGAGAUUAAUAAAGGAGGGAAUGAUAACUGAGAAUAAGUAAUAAUGUUUUGCAACAGAAAUGCAGUCCUUAUCAACUGGUGUAGGAAGCAAAUCGAAGCCAUGUACCAAGUUUUUCAGGUUAUAAUCUACCCCUGUCUAAAUAAAAUACAUACUUUUAAUAGCAUUAUAUUAUAAUUAUGAUAAGAAUGAAAUGUUGAAUUGUUUUAAAACUAAACUAUGCGGUUUUGCUAAUUAACUGAGUAUAUGAAAGUCUUAUACAGGUACACUCUGUUGUCUAAAUAAGUAAACUAAAUAGUGGUUUAUUAACGGACUACUACUUAAAAGACAACAAUUUACUGGCCGAUAGUUGGGAUAGAGACCACUAUCAUCAGUGUGAUUAAUUGACAAUUUUCCGCUCAUGUUUUACCUUUCAGCCUAAGUAAUUGCUUACCACUUUAAUCAUUUAAACAUCAAGCUUUCAGGUCAUAGUGGGUUUUAUUGUUUAUGAACCAACCUUUUGAUCGGUAAGCUAUCAACUAAUUAACAUGAAUUUAACUUUGAUUGGUUGGGUCAGGUAUGAUGUCAAAAGGUACAUUUAAAUGAUUAAUUUUGUGUUGUACAUGUUUGUUGAAGAAAAUAGAGACAUUUUUUGGGUUAUCCAUAAACCUUGAACAAGAAACAAUUUUAUUCAAUCCCAAGUUCUAAUUGUUUGAAACACAUCCAUCAAGAAACAAAUGUCGAAAAUCCACCCUGUCUUGUUUAUUGAGUUGCAAGUUUUUGUAGCGGGUCUAUUUGUCACCACUUGCCCGCCAUUGUUUAUCUUAUCCCUUUUUGUUUUUCUGCUUCUCACUAAACAUUGAAAGAUAAAUGUUUCUUAACUAGUUUCUUAUUCAAUAUAAUUGUUUCUUUCACAAGGUCUUCAAUUUUGAUGAGGCGAUUGGGCAAUAUCCUUUGUAGAAAUAAUUCUUUUUUUCUUUAAAUUUUUUUCUUUGGUUGUCUGUCCUUUUCAUAUAAUUAUGAAGUGGGAUAAGCUUGCUGCAUUAUAAUUAUUAUUGGAAACUUUCAUAUGGAUAUUUUUGGAAAAAUGUCUGUUGUUUACCAUAAAUGCCAGUUUAUCCUCUAACGGGCUUUCUAUAACUUGUUCUCUAUGAAAUUAAGGAGAAUCCUAGGGUACUCAUGUGUUCAAGAAUUCAGCAUGUUCACUGUUAUUUAAGUCAGAUUGUUUUAAGGUGACUCGAUGAAAUUAAUAUCAUUGGGUCAAUACUGACUGGGUCAGGUGUUCUCUCUUAAGCACAUACACAAACAUGUUGGACAUGACACCCACUAACAUAAUAUAGGACACUGGGAAACUGCAUGUGCGAAGCAAUUCAGUUGAAAACAUAAGAUGAAUUAAUCUUGAAUAUCUAUCUCUGUAUGGUUAAAACUUGUUUCUUUUUGUUGAAGUGUAGUAUAGCUGUUCCUGUUUGAACAUUUGAAGUGUUAGACUUGUCUCAUAUUACACAUGUUUCUUUAUACUGUUUGACCAAGUGUUUAUGUGGUCUGUUUUCCUUUAAGGAGCUUAGUGUCAAAUCUUAAGCUUUUUCAUUUAUUUAAUCUUUGAGGACCAAUAAUAUUUUGAAACUUUGCAAGCUUAGCAUUUCAUAAAUUGUGUCGAAUAAUCCAUGGAUCCGAGUUUAUUUUGAUACUAUUAUACAAGGAGAUAAGAAUAGAUGUGGCAUUUAUGCGUCAUUUGGUAUUGAUUCAUUAUAAUCUAAUUGAACUAUUUUUGAUUUUGCAGCACUUCUGGUUGCCCAUUUGGUGAGACAUGCCAUUUCUUGCACUAUGUUCCCGGUGGUUUUAAUGCUGUUGCCCAGAUGAUGAAUCUAACACCCGCAGCACCUCCUGCGCCCAGAAAUGUUGCAGCCCCACCACACGCACAUGCACCCAAUGGAUCUGCGCCAUCUGCUGUUAAAAGUCGCAUAUGUAACAGGUUUAACACUGCCGAAGGUUGCAAAUUCGGCGACAAAUGUCAUUUCGCCCAUGGUGAAUGGGAACUUGGAAAGCCUGUAGCUCUAUCAUUUGAUGAUCACCGUCACAUGGGACCCCCCAACGUAGGUCGUAUGGGUGGUCAUCGGAUGGAGCCUCCUCCUGGUCCAACUACCAGCUUUGGUGCCACUGCCACUGCCAAGAUCAGUGUGGAAGCUUCCAUGGCUGGAGCAAUCAUUGGUAAGGGGGGUGUGAACUCAAAACAGAUCUGUCGACAAACUGGAGCCAAGCUUUCGAUUCGAGACCAUGAAUCUGAUCAAAAUCUUAGGAACAUUGAACUUGAGGGAACUUUUGAACAAAUUAAGGACGCAAGUAACAUGGUGAAGGAUUUACUGUUGACCCUGCAAAUGUCUGCACCACCUAAAACAACCCAAGGUCCUCCUGGUGCCCCUGGCCAUCAUCAUGGAAACCAUGGAAGCAACUUUAAGACCAAAUUGUGUGAGAAUUUUACAAAAGGAUCUUGUACUUUUGGAGAAAGAUGUCAUUUUGCACAUGGAGCGUCUGAAAUGCGAAAAUAAAGAUUCCACCUUAAUGAGGCAGUGCAUUAUCUUGUGAGUCAGGAUUAUUCUUAUGAUUAUUAUUGUUGUGCACUACUCAACUUAGGGUACUGACAGGACUUCUGAUGUUGAGAGUUUUGUUGUUUUUGAUUCCUUUAAAUAGCUACAAUAGCUUUACAGUUUCGUUCUCCCUUUAAUAUGAAUCCAUGCUCUCCCUCCUCAGAUUGUUAAUUGUAUUUUUUUAGUAGAGUUUUAUUUUCUCGUGCCCUGCACAGAUCAUAAUUCCUGUCUGUCUCAAUUUGGCCAUGCCAUAAAUUUUGUUCUCUUUCUGUCAGUGUUGAUUUUUAGGAAGUUAAGUUUUUCUUUAUUCAUGGAUUUGUAACUAAAUGAGGUCUGAGAUUGUUUGAAACCGGUAGUGGAAGUAAAAUAUUCAAUCAAGUGCAUGGGUUUAGUCUCUCUUAAUCUGGCAAAUUAAGAUUUAAAUUACACUAACAGAGAGAACUGUUCACAUUAGUGUUUGAUUGUGUUAUUUGAUUAGUUAUCUUGCAAGUUGCAACAAUUUAUCGUUCACCAACUGAUUUGGUUUAGCAAUCACUAUUGUGUUUUGAUUAGUUAUCUUGCAAGUUGCAACAAUUUUUCGUUCACCAAGAUUUGGUUUAGCAAUCACCGACACUGAGCACACAUGCUGCCAUUUUCUGUCUCAAACGGAAAUAUUAUCACGAGCAAAUACUCCACUUAUAACCACCUCUGAACAACAAACUUUGCACUCCAAAUGCUAUCCCAAAUUUACGGGUUGUGACUAAUGUUGACUAGUGAUGGUAAUUUGGUCAGUCUCUACUGGAUACCCACAAAAUACUUAUAAUAGGAGGAUACAAAUUUAUAAAAAUAACAUGGGUUUAACGUAGGAGUAUGAACACCUUAAUUAGCAGUCUCAUCUGUGUAAUAUAUAUUUUAUAUUUUUUAAUUUAUAUUAUAUAAAAAUAAAUGUCUAUUAAAAUUUUAAAAUAUACUAAUUUUUAACUAAUUUAAUUACUAUAAGUGAUUAUUUAUUUUAUAAUUUAAUAAUAUUUUUUUUGAAAACUCUUAAAAUAUUCUUAAAAAUUUAAAAUAAUAUGAUAUUUUAUAUUUGAAAUAAAUUAGAAAUAUGAGUAAUGAAUAUGGGUGUGAACAUUUUCAUACUCAUAGAGUAUAGGUGUCGAUGUUGAUACUCAAGCGAGUAUGGAUUUGAUUAUGAGGUUUUUUGCAACUGCGGAUAUGAGGAUGAAUAUUAUAAUAUUCUAUUUAAACCCGGUCUAUUAUCAUUUCUAAUUGAAAUAAAGAAAAUCACUUCUAGAAAAAUAUAUGACUUUUAGGAGUUGAGUGAUAACGUUACAUGAAUUUGUCAAUAAAGUUUGCGUCUCCAACAUUGCAUAAUUAAAAACAUUAAUGCUCUUAAAGCUCAUGCUCCUGCCCCUACUAUUUUUAUACAACAAGAGUCUACUAAGAAAACCAAUGUACACCGGUAUUCAAUCCUUAAUACAAGAGAGGAAUCAAUCAAUACAAAAUUUAGAAUUUUUUAUUCAAAAAAUCUACUUUUUCAAUUUUUUUAUAAAAUAAUCUAUUUUUCAGAUUAAUUUCCAAACUAUCCCACAUUGAAGAGGUGACGUAAGAAGAAUUGCCGCUUGCUCUCUAAGUUAAAGAUAUGAUAUAAAUUGGAUUGACUUAUACACCUAGUGCUGCUAAUUCAAUUGAUGCUUGUGUGUUUAGUUUUAAAGGAGGCGCCAGUUGCUCUGACACUUAUGUGUUGUGUAAUUUUUUUGAAAAAUAAUGUAUAUUUUAGAUAAAAGUCGAGAUCGGACUAAUUGAUAAUAAUAUUAAUAUGCGUUUACAUACGAUAACCAAAAAGACUAAUGUCGUUGACCGAGAUGACCUAACCGAUCUCCGGUACUGUUUACCGUGAAAAUUGGUAAACAACCGUUGGUCUUCCAAAUUACAGAAACUUUGAUUACUCACAAGAUCGACCAGAUUGAUCCUAGGACAUGUGCUAUUAUUCUAAAAUUGUAUAUAAAAGAUGGACACUUCGACAGUAUCCUUGAGUAAAGAAUGUUUGUUUUAAAGCGUUUUUAAAGAAGAUAAAUGACGAAAAUGUAAGUAAAGUGUAAAACAAUGCUUGAUAAAUGACUGGUAAUAAAGGAUAGAAAGGUGUAAAUAAACUUUGAUUGAUAUAAAUAUAAUGGUGUUAUCAAACGUACAUUCUCAAUUGUACUCGUUUCUCAACACGCUGGAUACUUUGAGUAAAUAUGAUUGAUUGUACAUCAAUUUGAACACCCUAAUCCUAACACCAGAACAUCUAUUUAUACAAAAUUAAAAUAACCAUUGUCAAUGGAUCUUCUCCUAGGCACUGACACGUUACACUCGGCAUGUCUGCGAUUCAGGACAACAUUCCACGCGUCCUUUCUAUCAAAAGUGGAUAAGAAUGAAAUACGGUUAUGCUUCUAUCAUUCGAAUUCAAAUAUACGUCGAACAAACUCUUCCGUCGAAGUGAUAUUUGGAACUUGGGAUUAUUCCUAAGUUUCACAUUCAUCUUCCCUUAUAGAAGGCAGACUUCGAAACUUCCUCACAUCAAUAAUGCUUUGUUUCGAAAUCCUAGAUAAUUCCAAAGAGCAUUCUCUUUCCUUAGUUUAUCACCUCCAACCUGAUGCAUAGUUAUGUAAUUCAUGUCGCUAGCCUGAUCAUAAUCGUACAAAUUGUCUCAGUGAUGGACUAAGCACAACAACAUAAUUUUAAUUGUAACCCUUUUACUUAUAUUAAAACAACAUUCAUUUCAUAAAUAUCAUAAGAUUCCGUUACAAUAACUUGAAAACAACAAUUAAACAAUAGUUUAAACAACAAUUAAACAAUAAUUAAACAACAACACAAACAAUUACAUCAAUAAAAUAACAUCACAAACAAAUACAACAAAUAAACAACAUAACUAUGCGAUUACAACCAUCAAAACAAUUUUGUGAGAAGUAUUACAUCAUCAUGUGAACAUGCGUCCUGACAAGAUUCCUUACAGGAUUCCAUGCAUGCUUUUAUGCCCUAAAAGGAAAACACAUGUGCCCUCCCCAAUGACGCAUGCCCUAAAAAGACAACACAUGUGCCCUCCCCAAUGGCGCGUACUCCAAAAAUCACAUGCAAAAAAAGCAUCACGUGAAUGCAACAUACACUUAACCUACACUCCUCAAUAACAUUUUUCGAUUUUUUUUAAAUAACCAUAAUUUUCAAUUUUUUUUUCCAAAAUAACCAUUUUUUCAAAAUUUCCCCCCAAAUAACCACCUUUUAAAACAGAUGCACCAUAUGCAUUUUGCAUCAUGAAGAGGCGCCAAUGCCUCUGGCGCAUGCAUUGGAAGUCUCAUGAAGAGACGCCAAUGCCUCUAGCCCCUACAUGUCUUGACAUGUCAGACGCCUAGCCCUUUGACGCAUGCAUUUUCUAGUUCGCCAUGUAUGCAAUAUUUUUCACACAAAUCUUACCCUACAACCUUAUUUUCUUUCAUUCAACUUCACUCUCCUUCAAGUUUUUGAGUUUUAACCAUGUCUGAAUAUUCACAAGCGAAAUAUCGAUUUAAUAUUUUCCGUCGUUGCGUCUCCGAUAAAGAUUCGACUUUGGAAUAUAGAUUUGUUUGAACAUCUUAAUCGGACGUUGAACAGUUGGUUAGAUGGAGAAAUUGGGGAUGAUGAAAGGAUUAGAAGAAUCCAAUGGCUUGUGUCCACGUUCAACAAAAAUGGAGAAGUGCGUGAAUGGAUGAAUAUUAAGAAUGACCAAGACGUUCAUAGGAUGAUGCAUUACAUGUUCAAAAUUGUUAUGAUGGUUGUAAUCGCUUAGUUAUUGUAUUGUAGCUAUUUUAAUUGUUUGCGUUGUUGUUUAUGUAAUGAUAUUUCCUCACAAACUUAUAAUAUGAAAUAAGUUUAGUUUUUCAUAUAUUGCAACAGAGGUACAUGUGAACUUAUCUGGUUGUGCUCAUUCCAACACUAGGACAAUUAGUACGAUUGUGACCUGACUGACGGCAUGAACUACAUAAUCUAACCAUUUUGUUCGCCGUACCCAUUUUGGUUCAAAUGCGAGUGCUGUUUGGGCGACCCUUUUUCUUCCUUCGCAUAACAUGGGAGCAGGGCGUACGAAAGACUUGGAAUUUUCUACAGUCGCACCAACCUCUAUCUAGUUCGACUUUGUAUUGUCCCAUCGGCAUGCCCUCAUUGUGAUCCAUGGACUCGGCAACACUAUACCAACCUUUAGUUCUGUCAAACACCGUGACCACAUGUGUAUUUGCUUUGGCAGCUUCAUGUCUAAUGAAUUUCAUUGAAGCAUCACUAAACAACAGCCCAGAUUGCAACACUGGACUCCAUUUGGAACAUCUGGUCUCAACAACCAACCUCACACCAUCAACUUACCACAUACAUCAAACAACCAAACACUCAACUUCGCAACCAUUCAUGCCAUCCACCCAACAACCAAACACCCAACAUCGCAAUCCAUUCAUGCCACCCACCCAACCACAAAACCAAGAAUCAAACUCUACCCACCAACAACCAUACGCUUCAACCACAACCGUCUAUAGCCCAUAUGAUUCAUAUGGGUCACUUCAUCGUAGCCCCCCAUUAAUAACCAUUCAAACAUCCCAUCACCAAAACACACAACCAUUGUUUAACUAUAGUACACCCCAAGAACCAUUGCUUCGUUUCCAAAACGAUUCAAUCUUCCAAUUCGGGAAACUAUACCUUCCAUAAUCCACUCAACCCCAUCGACCUAACUACGAUGACAUGGACACCGAACUCCAUUAAGGAAGCGCCGUUGGCCAGAGCCCCCCAGAUAUUGGAAACAAAUGAUGACACAUCUAUCAAAUACCGCUGGAACUUCCGUCAAACCUUCACACCAACCAUCAUUCGAUCAGGUCAGAAUGCAAAGACCCCAAACACCUCAGGAAAAUCAUGGGAGACCUCGAAGACAAACUAACGCACCUGGAUGUGGAACAGGGGGACGUUCUGAUCGGGCCGGUCAUUAAAUUUUUGUCAAUCCUAUGUAACAUUUAUUAUAUCAUGAAUAAAAAAAAAUAUUACAAUGGUGUAUGCGCCAGAUGAAUUGACGCAUACACCACAUGCCAAAGGCAUGCGUCAUAGGCAUUGGCGUCUCUUCAUGAGGCAUCCAAUGUAUGCACCACUCAAGCUGACGCCUCCUCUUUAGGGGAAAUGGAUGCGCCCGUUCAUCUGACGCAUCUGUUUUGAAAGGUGGUUAUUUUGGAAAAAAAAUUAAAAAAAUUAUUAUUUUGGAUUUUUUUAAAAUUGUGAUUAUUUUUUAAAAAAAUCACAUUUUUCCCAUCUAUAAAUACCGAUGUUUAUCAGCAUUUCCAUGAAACACACUCAACCUACCUACUUUGUCUGCAACAUACACUCAACCUAUCUAUGGGACAAACCAAUCAUACAUGGUGUUAGAUCAACUCAACAUUAUAUGGUUUGGUUUAGGUCGGUUACAACGCCACAGUUUGUGUCUGAACCAAGGUAUUUAAUUGAUCUACGCCAACGAGUUUCGUCAUCCUACGUCCAACAACAAAUUCCCUCCCAACAACCAACUUCACACCAUUACCAAACUCAAGAGCAAUAUUAACCCACUCAAACCCAACGACUAACCUCACACCAUCCUCAUACCAUAUACAUCUAACCACCAAACACGCAACCUCACAACCAAUUCAUGUCACACACCCAAACUCAAAAUCAGGAACCAAACCCUUAUCACCAACAACCAUACGCAACCACCACAUAUGUCUAUAACCUAGAUGAUUCAUACGAUUCGACCUCAUCCCACCAUAGCCUCCCACCAAUGAACACUCAAAUAUCUCAUCGCCACGACACCCAACCAUUGUUUGACUUUCUUACAUCACAUGAACCAUUGCUUUGUUUCCAAAAUGGUUAAAUGUCUCAAUUCAGGCAACCAUACCGUCCACAAACAACUCAACUACAACGAUCCAACUACGACAACAUGGACACCGAACUCAAUUACAACAGCGUCGUUGGCGGCAAUCCACCUAACUAUUUGAGAGAAAGAUGACGAAUUUAUCAAAUACUGCUAGACCUUCCACCAGACCUUUACAUCAGUGUCCAUUGCAUCAUGCUAGCACUCAAAGAUUUCAAACACCUCAAAAAAAUUAUGGGAGAUCUCGAAGACAGGAUAACCAUCUCGAAGACAGGAUAACCCACUGGAAUGUGGAACAGGAGUAUAUUUCGAUCAGGCGAGUCAUUAUUUUUUUUCAAUUGCUAUGUAUUUUAAUUUUAUAUUUAAUAUUAUUAAUUUUUUUUAUUUUAAUUUUAUAUGAUUAUAGUAUAAAAAGUAAAAAAAAAUCAAAAUAUACGCCGUAUGCAAUUAAUAUCAUAAUACAUACACCAAUUGUAUUGAUACAUGUUUACUGAUAUCACAAUACAUACACCAAUUAGAUUGAUAUAAUUGGCAAUUGAUACAUGUUUACUGAUGCAUGUUUUGAAUGAAUAAUUGAAAAAUAAUUAUAUUAAGUAAAUAUUUUAAAAUAGUAGUUAUUUUAAUUUUAUUUUUGAAAACAAAUUACAAUGUUACCUCAUAAAAAAUAAAUUUAAUAAUCCAAAUACAUCAUAGCAUUGUUACAUCAUAAAAAAUAAUAGAUAACUGUUAAAUAAUAUAUUAUAUUUGAAAUAGUAGUUAAUUAUUUAAUUAAUAUAUUAUAUUUCUAUCUGUAUUAGAUAACUUUAAAUAUUUAAAAUAUAUUUUUAAAAAAUUUUAAAACUAAUUUUAGUGUUUGUUAAAGUUCAAAAUAAUCUGAAAUAGCAUAAUAUUUUAGUUUAAAAAGUUUGAUUUCAAUGCAAUGAGAAAACCUAAAUCCUUUCUGCUCUACUUUCACACUAUAAUGGUGUGGGUUUUAAUUAUAUAAUUUCAAUAUUAUUGAAUAGGAAUUGUUUUUUUUAGAAGAAAAAAACAAUAAUUUUGUCCAAGGAUAUUUAUUUAUUCAAAGUGAAAUACAACUUAAUGACACUGAAGGUUCAACUUACAAGUAGGAACAUUCACAACAUCAUUUAAGAAAAGAAAUGAGCCAUCAAUGACUCAAAAAGAAAACAAACAUACUACAACUUAACAACCUUGUUUUAUUUAUCACGAUGAUACAUAAUUACUCAACGGUGAGUACCGCCGGUUCCAUACCCGGUGGCAUUUGGAUUUCCGCCGGUUCCAGUGGUGUGGUUUUGACCCUGCCCCAAGGUGUUCACAGCCGUUGCCGCAGCAUUGUGAUUACGCGCCGCCUGCUUAUCCAGCUCAGCCUGGGCAACCCUUUCCUCCUUCUUCUGUGUUGCCAACUCCUUUUCCAACGGAUCACGCGUCGUCAGCCUCUCAGUCUUCUCUUGGACGUUGGCUUUGGUCUUCUCCAUACCAGAUUUGGCUGCAGCACCAACGUUAGCAGCUGUUUCUUUGGUCUUCUCCAUUUUUAGAAUUCACCUUCUUCAACUAUGAACUCUGAUUUUUAUAAAAACUUGGUUUUCUUUUUAUUAGGAUAUGUGUUGAAGAGUAUGAUGCAUUCUAUCCAUUAUAUAGAUUUAGUUACCACUUUGUUUAGUGCACACGUGUUAGAUUAUAGAACACGUGGUGAGUUGGUGAAGAUCUUUUUACACCUGUAUGCAAGGUGUCUGAACACAAAGUAGAACCAAACAAAUAAUGUGGUAUCGAAAGAUAUACGUCUAUAUUGAAAAUGAUACCACAAAUCUCAAUAACGGUGAGUGAAAUAUAAAUUUCUAAAAUACGAACUUCAAUUUAAACAAUAAUUUAGUUUUUAAGUUUUCAAUAUGCUAAUAUGGCACAAUCUGCAUGAGUUUUUAAAAUUAUAUUUAAGUUAAUGAUGCAAAAAUACACACUUCAGUCUUUUAUAUAUAUAUAUAUAUAUAUUUUAAAGUUUUUAGACAAAUCUAAAGUGUACAUGUGAGACAAAUGGAAACUAAGAAUAUCAAUUUUAUCCAUAUAAAAAAUUUAAGCGAUUCAACUUUGAAGACUAAAAAUAAUGAGAUACAUUAUUGUUACAAAAUUAUGACUCUCAUAGAUCAUGAUUAAGCUUGUACUCUAUAAGUUCUAGUAAUUUAUAAGAUGUUUAAGUUAUUUCAUAUUGUCGCACCUCGAAAAAUGAGAACACGACUUAAGCGAAGCGCAAUCGCACGCUCGCAAUGAUGGACUGAACAGAGUCGCCACCGAACUUUAUUUAUUCCUAAAAAGGAAAGGGGAAAUAUCGAUAAAACACGACUUAAGCGAAGCGCAAUCGCACGCUCGCAAUGAUGGACUGAACAGAGUCGCCACCGAACUUUAUUUAUUCCUAAAAAGGAAAGGGGAAAUAUCGAUAAAACCCAAGAAAUAACGACAAUGAUAUUGGUCAUCGCAACCAAAUCAGGGUUCGGGAGUCGAUUACGCAAGGGGAAGGUAUUAGCACCCCUCACGUCCGUUGUACUCAACGGGAACCAUUAGGUUAAUUGUGUGCAUUAGUGUUAGUUGAAAUGUUAGGCUUUUCAAGUUAUUAGGUGGGAAAGAAAGAAUAGAAGAAAGGAGAAUAUUUUUGGAUUUUUGACGAAGGACUAAACCUAAGUUUUUUAUUAGUGGGUCUGACAAGAUUUACAAAUCCUGCUCCUACGUAUCUCAACAGAGAAAUCAAGGCUUACGUAGUUCUGGGUAGAAAAAAGUUUGUUUGUUGGUCGAUUUUAGCGAAAGCUAUAUUGUAUUAAUCGACGAAAACAUUGUUUUAUCCAAAACAGAUGAGGAACGAACGUACACCACACAUCGAAUGGAUUUACAAAUCAACAUUCGGAAAAACGUCUCUUAUCUCAACUCAACAAUCGUGGCCGAAACAUUGCUUUGCAUCAUCUUAAGACAAGAUGUCUUUCGUUUAUGAAAAAGGUUUUUUUUAUUAAUCGCACGGCGGCGAUAAAAGAGUUUAAUUGGUUGGAUGUAUUUUUGAGUAAUGGCGAGAACUUGAAUGAGAGAGAUAUCCAUCUCGAAUCCUAGACUCAGGAGUGCACGGUAUCCACCAUGUUCCAUUUCCAUCUUUAUUGAAAGAUGUUAAGAUAGGAAUUAAGUAUUUUGAAGUUUGAAAGACAAGUACUUGUGACUUGCAAGCUCUUACAGCUUGGGUCUAAUACUCGGGACAUGCGUCUGGAUAUUUCACCCAGGCAGUCUGUUUCUUUCCAAUUUGUUAAGAAAUGGUUCAAAUAUUUACGAGUGUUUUAGAGGGAAGACGAAUAUUUAUGGCUUGCAAGCUCUUACAGCUUGAGCCUAAUAUUCGGGAUUAUAACUGAAUAUUCCAUCCAGGAUAAUCUUUUUCUUCAAACUUUAUUAAGAAUUAGAGGGAAGACGAAUAUUUAUGGCUUGCAAGCUCUUACAGCUUGAGCCUAAUAUUCGGGAUUAUAACUGAAUAUUCCAUCCAGGAUAAUCUUUUUCUUCAAACUUUAUUAAGAAGAUGGUUUGAGGUAUUUACAAGCAUUUUGGAGGGAAGACGAAUAUUUAUGGCUUACAAGCUCUUACAGCUUGAGCCCCAUAUUCGGGAUUAUAACUGGAUAUUCCAUCCAGGAUAAUCUGUUUCUUCAAAUUUUGUUAAGCAAAAGAUUUGAAUAAUGGAGUGUGGGGAAGAGAAGACGAAUAUUUAUGACUUGCAAGCUCUUACAGCUUGAGCCUAAUAUUCGGGAUUAGAACUGGAUAUUCUAUCCAGAAUAAUCUUUUUCUUCAUAUUUUAUUAAGAAAAUGGUUUGAAAUUAAAUUGAUAUGACCCACGUACGGAAGUUUGGAAUCUAUUUAUUCGAAAAUGAUUGAAACUAGUUUAGAAAUGAUGUGGAUUAAUUUUUGAAAAUAUGGUAAAAAGGGUUUAAAAUUGAAAUUGUUAGUAAGACCGAAUGCAACAUCAGUGAAACUAAAAUGCAAAUAUUUACGUGUAUGAAGUGAAUGCGGAUAGAUAAUAAAACAUCAGUGAAACUAAAAUGCAAAUAUUUACGUGUAUGAAGUGAAUGCGGAUAGAUAAUAUCUAAAUAAAAUACCCAACACAUGAAAAUCGAUCAAACCAAUCGUCAAGUAAUUUACUAAUUAAAUAAAAAUUAAAUGUCUUCAUGUGAACUUCUAACUAAUUAAUUAACUAUAAAAAUAUUUUUUUUAAAAAUGCAUCAAAUGAUGAGGGUUUACUCAUGGAGAUGGGGUGUCAAAUGGAAAAAUAUGGGCCUAAAGCCCAAUCGCAUAAAAAUCCUAAAAUGAAGCAAAUAUAACCUAAAUUAAAUAAGUGAAAAAAAUAAAUAAAAUAAGAAAAUGGAUCUGAUAUGUGGGGUGGGACGGCGCACCAUAUCCAACAUUCAUUUUGAAAUCCAGGUCCAACCUAUCACGAAGGGACACGUGGCCAUGGGAUAAACAUAAAACAAAACCAAACUUUUCUCUUUCAACUACCUCACGUGAAGAAAAACACAUGAACUGGCAGUGAAGCGUUUCGUCUCUUUUCGACAGAAAUUCUUCUCCAAUUUUUCCAGAACUUCUUAUUCCCUCUUUCUUCGUCUUCCAGAACCGCCUUCUUCGUUGAACCACCACAAAUCCCCAAAGCACCAUCGCCGUUACCUUCAACCUUAACAGAAACUCAAUCGAAGAAAGCACAAAGAAAUCGCUACAGGGACCGUCUUGCUGGAGGAAGUUGAUUGUCUGGCAUCUGUGAGAGAGUCGAUGUUGUGAAGGUGAGUUUCAUUUGUCUCAAUCUGCAUGUCGCAUUUCCUCUGUUUGAAGGCGAGGGGAUUAGAGUGGAGUGUGGUACGGUUGGGUUCGGUGGAUUGAAGAAGGGUUUCGGUUCGCUUCCAGAUCUAUCGUAACCUUCAACGAAUCCAUAGACGGAUCUCUCUGUUUGUUAUCGACCGCGUUAACGAGGAUCUCGUCGAAGAUCUUGAAGAGUCCAGGAACAUACGAAACGGCACGGUGAACCAUUUCAUCGUUUUCGUAAACCCAGAGAUUCUGAGUGUGUUUUUUCAAUUGAACCGGCGUAGGUAUCCUGACGGAGGAGAAUGUGUUCGAGUUGUGUUUUCUUUUGGUACAUUUCUUCGAUUGUUUUUCGAAGGAAUGUUAGCGGCGUUGUUGGUUUGGAGAAGGCGUUUUUCAUGGUGGUUGGUGGUGGUUGACACAGAGGUUGUGUUGUCUGAGAUUUUGAUUUUUUUUUAGAGAAAUGAGAGAGAGCCAAAAAUGAGAGAGUGUGUUGAAGUCGGAAGAGAGUAUCUGAAGAGUGUUAUGCUCGAGGGUUGGUGUUUUGGACUGGAACGGUGAUGGAAACACGGAAAUGGAAAAUGCUUUGUCAUUUUCGUGGCCAAUAGCAGUGUGUUUGUUAAUGUUUAUGUUGGACUACACGUGGGGGUAUCCGGUUGUUGGUAGGUGGAGAGUGAAGAGAGAGGGCAUUUGGGUCUGCACCGCUAGGCAUCUGUUGGUUCUCUUCCCCUCUCAUUCACCAGCAUCUUUAGUAUUUAUAGUGUCAAACUAGGGUUAUUAAUUUGAGACAAAUACCAAAAUGCCCCUAUUUUCAAAGUUUUAGAACAAAAUGAGUUUUAAGAACUAAUUAAAAUUAAAUUAAAUUAUUCUAACAAAAAAACUAUAUUAAACUGGAACAAAGACGUAGAAAAUUCUAAUUAAUUGAAUCAAACAUUUUGACAAAGAGAUAAAAAUAAAAUGUCUCAAAAUGGAUAAAGGUCGGGCGCAAAAGUGCUCGAAAAAUUAAAAUGAAUGCACCAAAAUGAUCAUUGCGAAAUAAAUAAAAUGUCUCAAAAUGGAUAAAGGUCGGGCGCAAAAGUGCUCGAAAAAUUAAAAUGAAUGCACCAAAAUGAUCAUUGCGAAAUAAACUUAUUGGAAAAAUACAACGUUUCUUUUAAUUUUGAAAUUUUUUUACCGGUUAAACAGGCUCGAGCUGAUGAAAAGGUGACCAAAAAAUUAGCUGAAAAAUAAAUCGAGCAUACCAGGUUAAACUACGUGAAACAUAGAUUAAUAAAACUGAUGUUUGCAAGCUUGAUUUUGAAACUUUUUCGCCCACCAUUUUGACACACAUUCGAUAAUUGGUUUAACCGGUUUGUCUGUAAAUCUGAAAAUUCAUUUCGACUGACAUUCUAGGCAUUAUGCGGUAUGGAAUGCAUGGUAUGCUAUGCAGAUAUGCAAUAACUAUGAUGAAUGUAUUGAAUCGGUGAUUCAGGGUCAAAAUUAGGAUAUGAUAUGAGAUGAAUGCCUGAAUGAAUGACUCUUUUUUUUUGAUUUGCUAGGGAUAUGAUCAGACAUAAGAUAAACCCUAGCAUGAUGCUUUAUGAUGGAUAAAAAAUGAAACAAAGAUCUGUGGGGAUGCUGAUGGUCCACAGGGAGACAGACAAAUGGUAAAAACCAACUCGCUGGGGAAAACAAUCCUGCUGGAGAAUCAGACACACACUAGAGAGCGCGCAAAGUGAAAUUCGAUGAACGACACUUAGAAUACAAGAGAUUUCGGCAGUAAGUUCACACAUGACUUACUAAACCCGAAUAAGAAAAAUUUCUACAACAGGUUCAUACAUGACCUGAUAACACUGAUGAAAUUCGAUGAACGACACUUAGAAUACAAGAGAUUUCGGCAGUAAGUUCACACAUGACUUACUAAACCCGAAUAAGAAAAAUUUCUACAACAGGUUCAUACAUGACCUGAUAACACUGAAACAAUAAUAGAGAAAGAUUCUUCAAAACAUGUUCAUACAUGACCUGGUAAUACUGGAAUGAAAGCUCGACAGCAGGUUCAUACAUGACCUGACAAUGCUGGGGGAUAUCAAGAAGUUCUGACAACAGGUUCAGACAUGACCUAACAAACUCAGAAAAAUUCAGAAAGAGUACAUCAACAGGUUCAUACAUGACCUGAUGACCAACUUGAACAUUUUGAGAAAGUUUCCACAGCAAGUUCAUACAUGACUUGAUAACAUUGGAACAAAAGGUUCAGCAACAGGUUCAUACAUGACUUGACAACACUGGAAUAAUCAAAAAAAAGAUUAUUCAAAACAGGUUCAGACAUGACCUGGUAAUACUGGAAUAAAGGCUCAACAACAACGAGUUCAUACAUGACCUGACAAUGCUGGAACAUUCAAAGAAUUUUCAACAACAGGUUCAUACAUGACCUGACAACACUUGAUUAUUCAAAGAGCGUUCAAUUAAUAGGUUCAAACAUGACAUGACAAUGUUGGGGGAUAUCAAAAGGUUCCAUAAACAGAUUCAAACAUGACCUGACAAUACUGGAAAACGUACAAAGAAAGUUCCAUCAACAGGCUCAUACAUGACCUGACAUCGUUGGGGCAUACAAAAUAUUUCAAUAACGGGUUCAGACAUGACUGUGAGAAAAUUCUUUAUCUUGAAUUAAUUUUUAAUGAUAGCAAAUUGUGUGAUCAUCAUCCAAAUGUUGGUUGUGCAUUGCAUUACAUGAUACAUGUGUGUUUUAUUAUGUUUCUCAUCCCACUCUAUUGUUACAUAACUGUACAUAUAAACAUACAUUGAUACUUCCCUUUGAAUAAAAAUUAAAAUGCAUUUUAUGUCAGUAAGCAUCGAUACAUAAAGCCUCUGCAUCGAUACAUACAGCAUGUGAUAAAUCACAAACCCUUUCAGUUCAGUAUGCAUCGAUGCAUACGAGUCAUGCAUCAAUACAUGGAAGACAAAAUACUCUAUGCAUCGAUACACACGAUUCCUGCAUCGAUACAUGACUAAGUGAAACAGCCUGUGUAUCAACACAUACGCACCAGGCAUCGAUACAUACUAGUGUAAUAAGCAUUUGCAUCGAUACACACGACUUUUGCAUCGAUACAUGAAUAAUAAAAUUCAUCAAAAUUUACAUUACUUACAGUAUGCAUCGAUACACAUUUGUAUGCAUCAAUACAUAAAACUGUUUUAUGUUAUAACAGCAUCAGUUUUGCAGCAUAUAAAACACAGGUUGUGACANNNNNNNNNNNNNNNNNNNNNNNNNNNNNNNNNNNNNNNNNNNNNNNNNNNNNNNNNNNNNNNNNNNNNNNNNNNNNNNNNNNNNNNNNNNNNNNNNNNNNNNNNNNNNNNNNNNNNNNNNNNNNNNNNNNNNNNNNNNNNNNNNNNNNNNNNNNNNNNNNNNNNNNNNNNNNNNNNNNNNNNNNNNNNNNNNNNNNNNNNNNNNNNNNNNNNNNNNNNNNNNNNNNNNNNNNNNNNNNNNNNNNNNNNNNNNNNNNNNNNNNNNNNNNNNNNNNNNNNNNNNNNNNNNNNNNNNNNNNNNNNNNNNNNNNNNNNNNNNNNNNNNNNNNNNNNNNNNNNNNNNNNNNNNNNNNNNNNNNNNNNNNNNNNNNNNNNNNNNNNNNNNNNNNNNNNNNNNNNNNNNNNNNNNNNNNNNNNNNNNNNNNNNNNNNNNNNNNNNNNNNNNNNNNNNNNNNNNNNNNNNNNNNNNNNNNNNNNNNNNNNNNNNNNNNNNNNNNNNNNNNNNNNNNNNNNNNNNNNNNNNNNNNNNNNNNNNNNNNNNNNNNNNNNNNNNNAAAGAGAGAUGAGCAUUGUAUAGUGAUUUGAAACGGAACCGUUUUCCAAUGGCAAAGCCCAAUACCAAAACCUAUCCCAACAGAAAUUUAAAAAAAUAAUGGAAAAAAAAAAAAACUUUCCCCGGCCCAAUGCCCCCAAAGUUCCCCCUUUUCCCCCCCAAAGUUUAGGCCCCCAAAUAAAAAAAUUUUUUUUUUUUUUUUUUUUCACCCGUUGAAAAUAAAGGCCCGCUCUUUAUCGCCCCCUUUGGCGUUUUCAGAAUCCAUACUGGUUUUAACAAGGCAGCCACAGAGCAACCAGCGAACCGGCGCUCUGAUACCACUUGUUUAGACGGUGGGGUUGGCUAGUGAUCGAAGAGGGGGGUGGAAUAGAUCACCUCUUUAAAAUUAACGGAUUUAAACGUUUUAUCAGAGUUUUCAAAGUUGGCGGAAAAAUCAGUGCCGAAAUCGACUUUCCGUCUAUCUGAACCGGCUACUAGAAAGCCGGACACACAAAGUUUAAUUGCUGGAUUUUAAUGAGAAAAUGACAGAAAACAAUUCACACCAGAAUUUUAACUAAUUAAAUGCACUUAUCAUUAAGUCCUAAUUUUCCAAUGAAAUAAAAUCUAGCUAACCGUUUUAUAUCAAACAGUUGUGUGGUAUGUGAAUCGAUGAUAAACAGCAAUGGAGUUUGAUUUUAAAAGUUUUCUGCCUCGCCUGUCUUGAAAAAGAAACAAAUCACCACACACUAACUGAAAAUUACGAAAACAGUUUGAAAAACGUAAAGAGGAGUAAGGUAAGAGUACGAUACGCAGAGAUUUGGUAAAGGAAGUUCCCCACGUCGUCUCCUCGCGUGUGGGUACGUCUCCCUCUCAAUUUAAAAUGAAAUUGAAACUUUGAUUAUCAAUUAUUGCCGAAUCCGUGAUACAAGGUUUGGUACAAAGACAGAAUUCUAAACUCUAAGAACCUCUUCUUGUAUAAACCUUGGACUUGAUCUGAGCCACGAUCAAGAUUUUCCUGCACAAAUUGCAAAAGCAAUUCACCGGUUCCACGACCUGCUUGCGAAAUCCCCCCGACUCUCCAAAACGCAACGCUGCGGCUGAAUAUGUUCUGCAAAAUGUGACUCCCAAACCUCAAAAACACUCCAGAUCUUGAAGGACAAACCAUAGGUUUUUCCUAGAAACCACGUCCUUCAAUCUUCGACUCACUAGAUCCUGGAUCGUUCCACUGCAAACCACAGCUAGAACCUUGAUCGUACCAACUGAGUCGUUAAUCUCGAUGCUUCUUUAAUCCCAAAGAACAAGAAUGGAUAUGUGUAAAUGUUCUUGAGAAAAGUGAUUGAGAAGAUGAAGAGAAUGAAGUCUCUUCAGGUUUCUAGUUGCUCUCAACAAUUGCUCGCAACACUGCUUUGAUCUGUGUUCAAUUGUUUUCCCUCAAUAAUUCGUGUUUCUUGCACUGCUGUCACAACCUGUGUUUUAAUAUGCUGCAAAACUGAUGCUGUUAUAACAUAAACAAGUUUUAUGUAUUGAUGCAUACAAAUGUGUAUCGAUGCAUACUGUAAGUAAUGUAAAUUUUGAUGAAUUUUUAUUAUUCAUGUAUCGAUGCAAAAAGUCGUGUGGUAUCGAUGCAAAUGCUUAUUACACUAGUAUGUAUCGAUGCCUGAUGCGUAUGUGUUGAUCACAGGCUGUUCACUAGUCAUGUAUCGAUGCAGGAACGUGUGUAUCGAUGCAUAGAGUAUUUUUGUCUUCCAUGUAUUGAUGCCAUGACUCGUAUGCAUCGAUGCAUACUGAACUGAAAGGGUUUGUGAUUAUCACAUGCUGUAUGUAUCGAUGCAGAGGCUUUAUGUAUCGAUGCUUACUGACAUAAAAUGCAUUUUAAUUUUAUUCAAAGGGAAAGUAUCAAUGUAUGUUUAUAUGUACAGUUAUGUAACAUAGAGUGAUAAUAGAUUCAUUCGAAAGAAUGGAGUCAAGCAUUCCGACAAAAAUCUCAUGAAGUUUCGAAGACAAUCCAUAAAUUCGAAACAAGAAGAAAACAAGAAGAGUAGAGGAAGAGGAUCAUGUUUUAACUGUGGUAAAUCCGGACACUAUAAAACAGACUGCCCUAUGAAGUAUAAGGACCAAAGAAAAGAUUCACCAAAAGGGUACAGCAAACAAAGAAGAGCGUAUAUUGCAUGGGAAAGUGAUAGUGAUUCAUCAAGCACACAAAGCUCAAGUGACGGUGAUGAAGCUGCAAAUCUGUGCCUUAUGGCUCACACUAAAAAUCUGUCCUACCACAAGAAGAAAAACAAUGACAAGAAGGUAAAACAAGCCUACUACAAUAAUUUCUCCUCUAUGUCUUUUUCGGAACUAAAAAUAGCUUUUGAAAAACUGCAUAAUGAAGCCGUAGAUGCUUUUAAAAGACUAGCUUCCGACAAACAUAUCUUCUCUUUUUUGGAAGGUAAAGUAAACAAAGCUGAAAUUGAUUUAGAAGCAUUGAAAACUAGUAUUGCAGAAAAUUCAAAAACUAUUGACAUUGACGGAUGUAGUAGAGUUAGGUAUUGUGACGCUUGUUAUAUUUGGCAAAAAGAGGUAAACACUCUUAAGGUCAAAUUAGAGAAAGCGCUACAACCUAAAAUUACUUAUGCCGUUGACCCCAAGUUGUUUAAGAAGUCAUUGAAUCCUCCAUAUGCAAAAUACUCUUUUAUUCUAAAGGAUUCAAUGAACAAGAAACAACAAACACAUCAUCAUGGUUUAUGUCAUUAUUGUUGUCAUGCUGGCCAUACCAUUGAGAAAUGCAAAUUUAGGAGAUUUCUUGUCCCUAAAGGCAUUUAUCAAUGGAAGCCAAAAGGCAACCAUGUUAGCACUUACCCACUUGGACCCAAUGAAAAUUGGGUACCAACUUCUCUCUUUUGAUGUUGUAGGAUGAGUGCCUUGCCUCCGCAGAUAGAAGGUGGUUUCUUGACAGCGGCUGCUCGAGGCACAUGACCGGUGACAUAUCGCUCUUUAUAGACUUCAAGGCAAAGAAGAAGGGAUAUGUCACUUAUGGAGACAACAACAAAGGAGCUAUACUCGGCAAAGGUAGUGUAGGUAAUCCCUCCACCACUACUAUUUCAAAUGUCCAUUUAGUUGAGGGACUUAAACACAAUUUGUUAAGCAUAAGUCAACUAUGCGACAUGGGCUAUAAAGUGUCGUUUACAAAAACUUGCUGCAUAAUUGAACAUGUUGAACAAAACAUUGUGUUUAAGGGUGUAAGAGUAAACAACAUCUAUAUGCUUGACUUGUUUGAUGUACCUUUAACAAAUACUAAAUGUCUAGUCACCUUGAAUGAUGAUUCUUGGCUUUGGCAUAGACGUUUAGCGCAUGUUAACUUCGAUUUGCUAAAUAAGGUUGUAUCUAAGGAUCUAGUAGUCGGUCUACCAAAAAUAAAAUUUUCAAAAGACCACCUAUGUGACGCGUGCCAAAUGGGAAAGCAAACAAGGGUGUCUUUUAAAUCUAAAAAUGUAAUUUCAACUUCACGACCCCUUGAGCUUCUCCAUAUGGACCUCUUUGGACCUUCUAGGACAAAGAGCCUAGGUGGAAAUUACUAUGGCUUUGUAAUAGUUGAUGACUACUCUAGAUUCACUUGGACUAUAUUCCUUCAUAGCAAAGAUGAAACUUUUUCUGCUUUUAAAAAUUUUGCAAAUCUGUCCCAAAACAAAAUGAAUUCCAAAAUAGUUACAAUUCGUAGCGAUCAUGGUGGUGAGUUUCAAAAUUAUCACUUUGAGAAGUUUUGUGACAAGUAUGGUAUUGAGCAUAACUUUUCAGCUCCUCGCACUCCACAACAAAAUGGCGUUGUGGAGCGUAAAAAUCGUGUUUUAGAGGAGUUGGCAAGAACAAUGCUUAAUGAGGGUGGAUUACCAAAAUACUUUUGGGCUGAUGCUGUUAGCACAGCCUGUUAUGUCCUAAACAGAAUCUUAAUUCGCCCUAUUUUGAACAAAACUCCUUAUGAACUUUUGAAAGGAAGAAAACCAAACUUGUCACAUCUUCACGUAUUCGGUUGUAAAUGUUUUGUUUUGAAUAACGGUAAGGAAAACAUUGGGAAGUUUGAUGCAAAAGCGGAUGAAGGUAUUUUUCUUGGUUACUCAAUGUCAAGUAAAGCAUAUAGAGUGUAUAAUAAGCGUUUACUUACUGUUGAAGAGUCGGUUCAUGUUUCUUUUGAUGAGUCUUAUCCGAAAAAUGUCGGAAAAGGUAUUUCUUUUGAUGACGCAGGUGUAUCUACAGAAGACAUACUCAAGGAAGCUGUUGAGGAAACUGAUCAGUCCAAAACAGCUGCCCAUGAGAAGGAGGAAGAUACUAGUCAUGAAGAAAAUGAGGAAGAAAAGACAGCUGAAGUGAAGGAUCUUCCAACAGCUUGGAAAUCCUCAAAAGACCAUCCCAUUGACAACAUCUUGGGAGACAUUUCAAAGGGAGUAAUGACCCGUUCUAAGAUAAGUAACUUUUGUUCUCACUUCGCGUUUGUUUCACAAGUAGAACCUAAAAAUGCCAAAGAGGCCUUGAUUGAUGAAUUUUGGCUAAUGGCCAUGCAAGAAGAGCUUAAUCAAUUUAAAAGAAAUGACGUUUGGGAACUUGUCCCUCGUCCGCGAGAUCAUCAUAUCAUAGGCACUAAGUGGGUUUUUAGAAACAAGCUUGAUGAAAACGGAGUGAUUACUAGGAACAAGGCACGCUUAGUAGCACAAGGGUAUAACCAAGAGGAGGGCAUAGACUAUGAGGAAACUUAUGCUCCAGUUGCUCGCCUUGAAGCUAUACGUCUUUUGCUUGCCUAUGCGUGUUCUAAGGAUUUUAAGCUUUACCAAAUGGACGUAAAGAGUGCCUUUCUUAAUGGUGUCAUAAAUGAAGAAGUAUAUGUUUCACAACCUCCUGGUUUUGAAAAUGCUGAAAAUCCAGAUCAUGUUUACAAAUUAAAACGAGCUUUGUAUGGUCUUAAACAAGCCCCUCGGGUUUGGUAUGAAAGGCUUAGCAAAUUCCUAAUUGAUCAUGGAUAUUCAAGAGGUAAAGUGGACAAUACUCUCUUUAUUAAACACAAAGGGAAGCACAUUCUUUUAGUUCAAGUUUAUGUCGACGAUAUCAUAUUUGGUUCAACUAACAUACACUUGGUCGAAGAAUUUUCUAAGGUUAUGCAGGGUGAAUUUGAGAUGAGUCUAAUGGGGGAGCUGAACUACUUCCUAGGACUGCAAAUAAAGCAACUUGAUGAGGGUACAGCAGUAUGUCAAACAAAAUACUGCAGAGAACUACUCAAGCGCUUUGGAAUGAAUGACUCAAAAUCGAUUGACACCCCAAUGCCUACCAACGGAAAUCUAGACAAGGAUGAGCAUGGUAAGUGUGUAGAUGUCAAAAGGUUCAGAGGUAUGAUUGGAUCUCUCUUGUAUCUUUCUGCUUCUAGACCUGACAUCAUGUUUAGUGUUUGUAUGUGUGCACGCUAUCAAUCAAAUCCUAAGGAAUCGCACCUAAAAGCGGUGAAGCGCAUAUUUAGAUAUCUUCACGGAACACCUAAAUAUGGGCUUUGGUAUUCCAAAGGAAGUGAUUGUAGCUUAGUAGGGUACUCCGAUUCUGAUUUUGCUGGCUGCAAAUCAGAUAGGAAAAGCACAAGUGGUACAUGUCACCUGUUUUCAAACUCCUUGGUCAGUUGGCAUAGCAAAAAGCAAGUUUCUGUGGCUUUGUCAACUGCAGAGGCAGAAUACGUUGCAGCCGGUAGUUGUUGCGCUCAGAUUUUAUGGCUGAAGCAGCAACUACAAGACUUCAACAUUCAACUCAAACGUAUUCCUAUCAAAUGUGACAACACUAGUGCCAUAAACCUUACUAAAAACCCUGUUUUACACUCACGCACUAAACACAUAGAGAUUAGACAUCAUUUCCUUCGUGAUCAUGUUGAAAAAGAAGACGUUGUCUUUGAGCACGUUGAUUCCAAAAAUCAGCUUGCUGAUAUUUUCACUAAACCAUUGGCAACGGAACCUUUCUUCAACAUUCGUCGCGAAUUGGGAAUCUUAGAUCUUUCUCAAUUGAUGUCAUAAGCAUGUUAUCUCUUAAUUAUAUUAUGCCUCACCAUGGUUGAUAAGAGCUGUUUUAGAUGUCAAUUAUCCAUCACAAGAGUUCUCCAACAGAGGUAAUAUCAAUCCUUUCUACAAUUUUCUUAUUGCUAAGUGAUUGUGUAUGUUACAUCAAAUGUUCUUACUCUAGUUGAUAUAAAAUUUGAUUGCAUAUACUCCUGUCCAUAUUGUGUGCACAUUAACAAUCUGACUUCUGAAUCUCUCUUGAGCAUAAUCAUCAUGACAUAGUGCAUAAUGCAUAUUCAUACUGCAUUAAAAUUCAUUAAAAGCUAGUUCAGCAUCAGUAUGCAUCGACACAAACGAAGCAUGCAUCGAUCCAUACAUUCUGAAAUUCAAAUUUUUUAAAAACUGCUUCAGGAUGCAUCGAUGCAUCCAUCGCAUGUAUCGAUACACAUGCCCAUUGUGAAUAUUUGGCAUCGACGCAUGACCAUCUGCAUCGAUACAUACUGAUGCUAUCUGAAUUAAAUGCAUUUCUUUCUCUCUCAUGCAUCGACACAUCAGCCAAUCAUAUCACUUCCUAUCUCAAGACUUCAUAUCAUCUGCCCUCAAAAACCCCAAAACCAGUGGCUAACCCUAAUCCUCCUCAUCUUCACUCUCUCUCUAAAACCCUAAAUCUCACAUCACCAUGCCUCCACGCACUAUUCCAGCCAGAGCCAAAGGAAAAGGAAAGGGAAAGGAAACAGCCGGUACAUCUCAGCAACCACCAGACGUUCCUUCAAAUGCCUUAGAGCUACUUCAUCCUGCUGUUGCUGCUGAAUUUGAGGAAUCCUUCAAGACAAGGUUAGUCAUGAAACCUCACGUCUUUGAUAAAACAGAUGCUAUUCACCUACACCUAAAUGAAGUGGUUGAACUCUUACAUGCACAAAGACUUGGGUCGUUUCUGUCCACAAAGGAUGAUUAUCAUGAGGAUUUCAUUCGGGUCUUUUAUGCUGGCUUACAAACUGGUAGAGGCUAUAUGUUCCGGUGUUCUAUCGGAGUCAGAACAUAUACCUUUGAAGCCUCUGAUUGGGAAACGGUAUUUCAAAUGCCGCCUCCGUCGAUGGCUUUCAAGUGCUGGCAUGACCUGCAUUUUGAUCCUGAAUUUGACAUGAAGGACUUUACUCCAUCUAUCCUAAAGAUAGACAGACCGUUGAGUGAUGAUGAACACGUCACGUCUGGUAUGAUCAAGCAAACUCCGCGUAUUCUUCACUGGAUUAUUACACAUAUUCUGCGUCCAACAAACAGUGGACAUUCGCGGUUGGACAGGCCCAGCAUACAUCUUCUCUACAUUUUGCAAAAUAAGGUGUUCUUAAAUUGGGCUAAUUACUUUGUAAAACGUCUAUUUUUCGUGCGAGACAGCUCCAAGAAUGUGGCUCUAGGUUAUGCCUCUCAAAUAAUGAAAAUUCUUAAGUUUUGGAAAGUUGCAAUACCUAUUGUUCCUCUCCUAUCUCCAUCUGCUGCUCAAGAGUUUGACUCUGCCACUCUAUCGCAUAUGGGAUAUCGGUGGGACAAGGACCGCAAAUGUUUCUAUUUCUUCGAAAGAAAAUCCAAAACCAGAAUUUACAACUUUGACGUGCCCUCGGAACGCAUCCAUGUUGCUGAAGAUCAGCCUGAUGAAGAAAUGCAGGAUGCGGCUGAAACAGAUGCACCACAAGCUGAGGCCAAUGCUGGUUGGGGUGAUUGGGUGCCACGAAGGUGGUCUCCUACCAACUAUGUACCUGAACCUACAGCCCCUCCAUUCUCCGGUGGUACUUCAGCCUCAACACCAAAUGCGGACAUCACUCACAUGCUUCAACAGAUGGAAAUUGUCAACAAAGAACGCCAUGAAGAAGCACGGUACUGGCAUGUUCAACAAUCUGAAUGGCACAACGAGCAUCGGGACUGGCAUGAUGAGCAUACACGGAUGUAUCAGAAUCAACACGCUUGGCACCAAGACUUGGUUAAAUGGCAUCAGGUUUUCUACAACGAAAUGUCCGGCUUUAUGGACGACUGCCGUGAAAAUCCUGGUAUUAUGGACAGCUUUAGAAGCAUUGAAGUUCAGAACCGAUUUAGGCAAUACUCCUUCAUGGGCCAAAAUCCAGACACAAUGCCUCCUCCUCCGCCUCCGCCAAGCUACCGAGAUCCUGACAGACAUGAUGAGGAGUCCUGUGGUGGCCACAAUCCAAAUUAACCAACCAUCUUUUCAUCUCACUGCAUUUCAUUUCAUAUUGCUCAAGUUUUAUUUUGUUGCACAAUAUAUGGUUUAGCUUAUGUAACUCUUAAACUCGUUCGUAUCUUUAAAAUGCUUUUCUAUUUCUGUUUAUCUCUAUUGUUAUUGCCCUUAUUCUUCAUUCUUUGUGAAUGAUUCUUUACUUUGAAGCUUCAUUCUUUGUGAUUGAUAGCCUGUUAUCCAUUUUUUGCCAUGUCCUGCUACACUAUGCUACCUUGAUAAAUCUGUUUCUUCCUCUUUUUGAUGUUGACAAAGGGGGAGAAAAUGCAGAUAUGCACAAACUCAGGGGGAGUAUCACACAUCUUGCCAAGAAUUUGCCAUCAUCAAAAAGGGGGAGUUUGUGAGAGAAUUCUUUACCUUGAAUUAAUUUUUAAUGAUAGCAAAUUGUGUGAUCAUCAUCCAAAUGUUGGUUGUGCAUUACAUUACAUGAUACAUUUGUGUUUUUAUUAUGUUUUCCAUCCCACUCUACUGUUGCAUAACUGUACAUAUAAACCUACAUUGAUACUUCCCUUAAAAUAACAAUUAAAAUGCAUUUUAUGUCAGUAUGCAUCAAUACAUAAGCCUCUGCAUCGAUACAUACAGCAUGUGAUAAAUCACAAAACAUUUCUGUUCAGUAUGCAUCGAUGCAUACGAGUCAUGCAUCAAUACAUGGAAGGCUAAAGACUCUAUGCAUCGAUCCACACGAUCCCUGCAUCGAUACAUGACAAAUUGAAACAGCCUGUGUAUCAAUACAUACGCAUCAGGCAUCGAUACAUACUAGUGAAAUAAUCACAUGCAUCGAUACACACGAAUUAUGCAUCGAUACAUGAUUAAUAAAUUUCACCAAAAAUUCACAUAUCUUACAGUAUGCAUCGAUACACACUCUUAUGCAUCAAUACAUAAAGCUGUUUUAUGUUAUAACAGUAACUGUUUUUGCAGCAUAUAUAAGACAGGUUAUGACAGCAGUAAAAACAACGAAUUCAUUGAGGGAAAACAAUUGAACACAAGAUCAAAAGCAGUGUUGGAGCAAUUGUUUGAGAGCAAUUAGAAACCUGAAAGAGACUUCAUCUUCUUCAUCUUCUCAAUCACUUUUCUUCAAGAACAUUUACACAUAACCAUUCUUGUUCUUUGGAUUAAAGAAGCAUCGAGAUAACGUUCAGUGGUACGAUCAAGGAUCUAGCUGUGGUUUGCAGUGGAACGAUCGAGGAUCUAGCUGAGUUGAAGAUUGAAGGGGGUUUCUAGGAAAAACCUACUGGUUUGUCCUUCAAGAACUGGAGUGUUCUUGAGGGUUUGGGAGUCACGUUUGCAGAACAUAUUCAGCCGCAGCGUUGCGUUUGGAGAUCGGGGGAUUUCGCAAGCAGGUCGUGGAACCGGUGAAUUGUUUGCAAUUUCGUGCAGGAAAAUCUUGAUCGUGCUCAGAUCAAGUGAAGGUUCAUACAAGAAGAGGUUCUUAGAGUUUAGAAUUCUGUCUUUGUAUCAUAACCUUGUAUCAACGGAUUCGGCAAUAAUUGAUAAUCAAAGUUCUCAAUUUCAUUUGAAAUUGAGAGGGAGACGUACCCACACGCGAGGACGACGUGGGGAACUUCCUUACCAAAUCUCUGCGUAUCGUAUUCUUACCUUACUCCUCUUUACGUUUUAAAACUGUUUUCGCAAUUUCAGUUAGUGUGUGGUGAUUGUUCCUGUUGCAAGACAGCAGUGGCAAGAAAACUUUUAAUCAAACUCCAUUGCUGUUUAUCAUCGAUCACAUACACACCAACUGUUUGACAAAACGGUUAGCUAGAUUUUAUUCAUUGGAAAUAGACUUUAAUGAUAAGUGCAUUCAAUUAGUUAAAAUUCUGGUGUGAAUUGUUUCUGUCAUUCUCAUUAAAAUCCAGCAAUUAAACUUGUGUGUCCGGCUUUCUAGUAGCGGUUCAGAAUAGACGGAAGUCGAUUCGGGACUGAUUUUUCCGCCAACUUUGAAAACUCUGAUAAAACGUUAAAUCCGUUAAUUUUAAAGAGGUGAUCUAUUCACCCCCCUCUCGAUCACUAGCCACACCGUCUAACAAUGACCUGUCAACACUUGGGAAAAAUCAAAGGGAGUUUUGUCAACAGGUUCAUACAUGACCUGAUGACACUGGAAAAUUCAAAGAAAGUAUAUCCACAGGUUCAUGCAUGACCUGACAAUUCUGGAAGUUUCAAAGAUAUUUUAUUAACUGGUUCAUAUGUGACCUGACAAUACUGGAAAAACCCAAAGAAAACUUCAACAACAGAUUCAUACAUGACCUGCCAAUAUUGGAAAACAUACAAAGCAAGUUUCAUUAACAGGUUCAUACAUGACCUGACACUUUAGAAUACAUCUGACAAUUCUGGAGAUUUCUCACAAGAAAUUCAUCCAAUCAAAGAUUUUGGAGAAUCCUAAAAGGGAAUUUAUGCAAAACAAAGAUAAACGGGAGUCUUCUUAUAAGUAGACCAUCCACGCAAAAAGGCUACGAUGAUUCUUUACAAAGACAUCAAACAAAAUCAACAUCAUUGGAGUUUUCUAACACAAAAACCUCCAAACUUCUGGGAAUUCCUCAAGAUGAUGAGUCAUACAUGACUUUCACGGAACCAUCAGGAAAGACAGGGUAAUUAAACUCUCUGUACGUGCCAAACAAACAAUUGGACUUUUAACCGUAAGUAAUGGAUUACAACCAUCUUUUAACGGAUAGGUGCCAACAACAAUUGGACUUUGACUGUAAGCAAUGGAUUACAACCAACUUUUAACAGAUUGGUGCCAACAACAAUUGGACUUUGACUGUAAGCAAUGGAUUACAACCAGCUUUUAACAGAUUUUGCCAACAAGAAUUGGACUUGAAAUGAUGGUGACAACCAAAAUUCAGAUACCAAUUACAAUUGUAUUUAUAAACAGAGUGACAAUGAUGCCAACGACAAUUGGGUUUAAAAAUGAGUUCUAGUGACCACUGAGCUUGGAAUAAUGCCUAGUAACACCUGAAUUUUAGGAGACACCAACGAGUCUUAAAAUAAUUCCAGGGAGUGGCAUAUGGGUUCUGGAAGUGCGUCAGAACAAAAAUGACAUGUCCGAGAAUUCAUCGGAGAGUAAAAGAAACAAAUUUUGGAAAUGCAUCAGAAUUAUAAGUGAUAUUCCGAAAAUACAAUAGAAUACAGACACAUCCGGUAAUACAUCAAGGAAAUUAUGGAAAUACAUCAGAAUACAGACACACUUGUUUUAGUCUUUUAAUUCAAUAUUUUUUAAUCUUCCUUUAAAAACACUAAUUUUUUAGUCUUUUAAUUCAAUAUUUUUUAUUGGAAUUUUCAAAUUAGGAUGGCAUAAACAAAAAUGUGUUGCCAUAUAGUCUUGAACCUGCUAUAUAGUCUUGAACCUGCCACACUUGUGGGUUGCCUCCCACGCAGCGCUUCGUUUAACGGCGGUAGCUCGACUCAGUUAAUUUAGGCCUCUAAGGAGGAGACAGAAGCAUGACACUUCCUUAGUCAAGGACUGGGUUAGAAGGGUGAUAAUGCUUCAGCCUCUACCCGUUUGCAACAAACUUUCAUGUGGAUUCACUCCAUACUUUUACAACACCAUACUCGCUUACUCUUGUUACCUCAAACGGUCCAGACCAUCAAGAACGUAACUUUCCGGGGAAUAGCUUAAGUCUGGAGUUAAACAGUAACACCCACUCACCCUAGUUAAACACUCUUAUAGAUAUUUGUUGGUCAUGCCAUAUUUUCGAUCUUUUUUUGUAGAACAAAUCAUUUUCAUAGGCAUCUAGUCAUAACUCCUCAAGAUGGUGUAAAUCGAACAUUCUUCUACCCCCAACAGUUGUAUGAUCCAUAUUAAGGGCCUUAAUGACCCAAUAUUCUUUAUGUUCUAACUCUACUGGGAGAUGACAUGAUUUUUCAUAGACGAGCUUAAAGGGAGUUGUUCCUAUGGGGGUCUUAUAGGUUGUCCUAUAGGUCUAGAGUGUGUCGCUCAGCUUAGUCGGCCAAUCCUUCCUUGAAGUGGAAACUGUUUUCUCUAGAACUCUUUUAAUCCCACGGUUUUAGAUUUCCACAUGUCCGCUUGUCUGCGGAUGGUAAAGGGUUGUUACACGAUGUUUAACUCCAUACUUAAGUAAGAGAUUUUCAAAACAUUUUUAAAUAAAGUGUGAUCCACCAUCACUAAUGACUAAUUUGGAUGUUCGAAACCUCGAUAUUACAUUUUUAAACAUUUUGGUUACUACAUUGGUAUAGUUGGUUGGGGAGGCAAUGACCUCGAUCGAUUUUGACACCUAGUCCACAUCAAUGAGUAUAUACUUAUUUUCAUUUGAGGAUGGAAAAGGUCCCACUCAGCCUAUACCCCAAACAUCAAAAAGUUCAACUUCCAUUAUAGGCAUUUGAGGUAUCUCAUCCCUACGUGAAAUGGUUCUAAUGUGCUGGGACCGAUCACAUUCAGUGGUAAAUAGGUGUACGUCUUUAAAGAUAGUAGGCUAAUAAAGGCCAUAUUGAAGGACCUUGGCGGCGGUCUUAGAGAUGAUCUUAUGUCCUCCAUAGGGUGAUGAGUGACAAUGGGUUAUGACACUCUUUAUUUCUUUGUCAGGUACAUAUCGGCGAAAGAUACUGUUGAUACCUCUUUUGAAUAAUAGAGUGUCAUCCCAAUAGUAAUGCUUAAUAUCAGGAAAGAAUCGUUUCAUUGGUUGGUAGGUAUACUCGGGAGGUAAAACAAUGACAACAAGGUAGUUGAUGUAAUCAGCGUACCAAGGCACCGACGAUUUUAUUACGGAGACUUCCUCAGGUGUUUUCCUAAAACCAGAGUCGUCUAGAUCAAGAAAAUCGAUUAUGUGGGAGAAACUAGGGAUCUCAACUCUGAUAAGGGAUACUAGUCUGUCAUAAGGAAAGUAACCAUUGAUAAGAACAUCUUCAUCAUUUUCUGAACCAGUUAAUCGUGAUAGGUGAUCUGCUACUACAUUUUUCGUUCCUUUCUUAUCUCGAUUUCAUGUCAAAUUCUUGCAGUAGUAGGAUCCACCAAAUCAGUCUUGGAUUUGCAUAUUUUUUGUUAGUAGAUAUCGAAGAGCAGCGUGAUCGGUGUAAACGAUAAUUUUAAUCCCACAAAGUAAAAGCGAAAUUUAUCAACAAUAAAUACAAUUUCCAGAAGUUCCUAAAAUAGAUAACAUGCAACUUUUUAUCUUUACACUGUCCUAAAAUAGCCCCUACUGCGUAAUCAGACGUGUCACACAUAAUCUCAAAGGGCUCAUUCCAAUACGGUGGUUGCAUGAUGGGUGUAGAGAUCAGUGUGCUCUUUAAUAAUUGAAAAGCCUAAAGACAUCGAUCAUCGAAAAUAAAUUUUGUGUCCUUCAUCAACAAAUCAGUUAGGGGUUUGAUUAUCUUCGAGAAGUCCUUUAUGAAUCACUAGUAGAAACCAUCGUGUCCUAGAAAGCUCCGGACCUCUCUUACAGUCUUAGGAGGUUGCAAAUUUUCUAUUACCUCAACUUUUGCUCUGUCAACCUCUAUACCUCUAGCAGAAACUGAGUGUCCGAGAACAAUGCCUUCUUUAACCAUGAAGUGACACUUCUCCCAGUUCAAUAUGAAGUUUACCUUGACACAUAUUUGUAGAACCUUUUCUAGAUUUACUAAACAAUUAUCGAAGCUCGACCCAUACAUAGAGAAAUCGUCCAUGAAGACUUCCAUUAUAUCCUUAGUAAAAUUAGCAAAGAUUGCCAUCAUGCAUCGUUAAAAAGUAGCAAGGGCAUUGCAUAGCCUGAAUGGCAUCCGCCUGUAAGCGAAAGUACCAUAGGGGCACGUAAAGGUAUUCUUUUCUUGAUCAUUAGGGUAUAUCGGGAUCUGGAAAAAUCCCGAGUAUCUAUCCAGGUAACAAAAAUGUGAAUGGCUAGCUAUGCGCUCUAGCAUAUGGCCGAUUAAAGAAAAGGGGAAGUGAUCUUUCCUUAUGGCUUUGUUCAAUUUCCUAUAAUCGAUACACAUCCUUCAUCCAAUCACUGUGCGUGUCGCUAACGAAUUGCUCUCUCAUUUUUAAUAAUGGGCAUACCACCUUUCUUUGGUACUACAUGUACUGAGCUUACCCAUUUGUUGUCUGAGGUUGGAUAUAUAAUUCAUGCAUCAAGAAGUUUCAUAACUUCCAUCUUACCUACUUCACUCAUGUUGGGGUUCAACCGUCUUUGGUUCUCUCGAGAGGUUCUAGAAUCCUCUUCUAGCAUUAUCUGGUGCAUGCACACAAAUGGGGGUAUUCCUUUAAGGUAUCUCAUGGUGUACCUUAUAACUUCGAGAUAUCUCUUUAGUACAACAAGUAGUUUAUUAAUUUCUUCUUUAUCAAGGAUGACAUUGACUAUAACAGGGUGAUUCAGUUCAGCGUAUAAGAAUUCAUAUCUAAGGGUUUUUGGUAGCUCCGAAAGUUCUACUUUAGGGUGUUUUGUGUCGGGUAUCGAAUUGGGAGUCAAGGUGAGGCAUUCGUCUAAACCUUCAACAUUAAUAAUUCAACCUCUGCCUUUUCUAUGUCCAAAGUCGAAGGUGCAACUGGAUAUUCAGCGGGUGGCGCUUCAACCAAUAACUUUAUUUUCUCCUUGCCGACUUCAAAGGUUAGUUUUCCUUGUUUCACAUCUAUGAUCGCACCGAAAAUGGCUAGAAAGGGUCUUCCUAAUAUGAUGGGGAUGUUUGAGUCUUUCUUUAUGUCCGUCACUGUAAAGUCUGUAGGAAUAUAAAACUAGACAAUACACACUAGAAUGUUUUCCAGCAUACCUACAUGGUACUUAACAGAACGAUCAACUAGCUGGAGGGACAUCCUUGUAGUUCUUAUGUCUCCUAAUUUUAGCCUCUCAUAAAUUGGUAGGGACAUCAAGCUAACGCUAGCUCCCAUAUCACAAAGGGAUUUGUCGAUGACAAAUUUUCCAAUUACAUAGGGAAUGGAAAACUACCUGGGUCUUUCAACUUAGGUGGCAUAUUAUUUUGAAUAAUGGCGAUGCAUUAUGCAGUGAGCGCCACCAUCUCGUCAUCUUCAAUUUUUCUUUUGUUUGAUAGGCUCUCUUUGAGGAACUUGGCAUAAGAGGACAUUUGUGUAAUUGCCUCUGUAAAAGGGACAGUAAUGUGGAGUUUCUUUAAGAGCUCGACGAACUUCUUAAAUUGAUCCUCGUUCUUAGAUUUGACAGGUCUUUAAGGGUAUGGUAUACGUGGCUUAUAAGGUGUUAGAGGUACAUAUGGCUUUUCUUUCUUGACAGUCUCUUUUGUUAUGGUCGAUUGCUCACUGUUAGAUCUUGGUUCUCCUAUUUGUAUCUUUUCAAUCGCUUUCUCCGGUUCCUUCUCAACUCUCUUAUACAUCGUCUGGUCUAUAACUCUAGGAUCAACGAGUGAAUUCAAUUUCAUCACACUUUGUAGUGUGGUGGCAUUAGCAUGGCCCUUUGGAUUGGGUUGUGGUUGGCCUAGAAAUGUGCCAGCAGGAGUAGCAGGAGCAACUUGUUAUUGAGCUACUUUAAUAAUUGGGUCUCAAGCAUCUUCUUGUGGGUAGCCAUGGUGUCAAUCUUAUUUUCCAAUUGUUUAAUCUGAUCAUUUGUGUGAACGUUUUGGUUCAGAAAUUCCAUUUUUUAUUGGGAUUGAGAUAGGACAAAAUUAUCCACUAUCAGCUCCAAGUUGGAAUUUUUAGGUGCGGAAGGAGCAACAAAGGCUCCUUUUUGGAAACCUGGAGGUGUGGUUGGCGGUGGACUAGGAGCAAAUAAUGUAUUGUUGUUCUUGUAGGAAAAAUUUAGAUGAUUUAUCCAUCUAGGGUUGUAAGUGUUUGAGUAAGGAUUUCCUUGUGCAUAGUUUACUUGGUUAGGGGAAGUUCCUGCCACUAGCUGAUAGUCUGUAGCGGCAUGCCCUUGGACUCUAUAAAUUUCACAAUUAGGACUCACAUCAUCUACGGUAGUUGUCGGUGUAAUGGUUAGAUUGUCAUUUUUUGUGUGUAAGUUCAUCGACCUUAGCACUUACAUGGUCUAGGCUAUUGACUUCGUACAUGCCUCCCUUAGGUUGGGAUCUCUCUAUAGAAGCACGCUCACUUCCCUACUGAUAGUGGUUUUGGGCCUUUUUUAUGAGUUGAUGGGAUUCCUGGAAGGGUUUGUUCAUUAGAGCGCCGCCAGCUACGACGUUGAAGCUACACGAAUUAUACCCGACGCAUCACACGCUCAAAGAUACAACAGAGUCGCCAUCGAACUUUAUUUAUUCCCGAAGGAAAGGGAAAACAUCCAUAAAACCCGGGGCAAAGAGAAAUGGGUAAGGAAGUCAGUUAUGCAAGGGGAAGGUAUUGGCAUCCCUUAUCCAUGGUACUCCAUGGAAACCGUUUUGGAUGUUCUUUUGUAAGAAUAGGUAUUAUUAUCUGAAGAUUACUCGCGAAAGGGGAAACGGGGGUUAAUAAAUAGAUGUGAAAAAAGGUAAGAAAUAGAUAAGUGUGAGAAAAUGAGAGGAAUAAUAAUUGUGCUCGCCAAGGAUUUGAACCAUCGUGCCUACGUAUCCUCAUUCGUGCAAUGAGGAAAUCAGAGCUCCGUAGUUCGUGGAACUAGGACGAAUACAUUAGUUGUUUUUAGUGAACAAUAUUAACAUUUGUGUUUUACCAUCGACUGGCUUGUAUGCUCGAGCAUGUGAGCUUUAAGCGUCUGUCUGUUUGUGGUAGAAUGGAUGAACUCGGAUCACACUCUAGCAGUUAAACGUUGCUUGCUCGCACAUGCAGGCUUAAGCAUCAUUCACGGUAGAACGGAAGUAACAUGUCAUUUCUUAAAAGGUUUUAAACUAAAAUGAGGCCCAAAGGCAAAAUUGAAUUUGAUGGGGUGAGUUUGCUUUUAUUCUGAAAAGAGAGUCAUGAUUUGAAUCGUACUAAAGUCUAUGAAUGAAGAUGAAUACAGUGAGCAACUGGGUCAUUCGUCCCGCACCCAAAGAUAUUCAGAAUGAGGAUAGGAGUUCUCCACUCCCACCCUUUCUCCAUUGCUUAAGACUCGUAUUGUACAAUUCUAGUCGUAUGGUUAAUUGUUUUUGAAUUUAUUCACAAAAUGAUUUUAGUUUUACUGGGAGAGCAAAAGGGAUAGAAAAGAAACCCUAGGAGGUUGAGGUUUGAUCUUCAUUUUGUUCUUCAUGUCUGUGUAGAAAGACUUAUCAACUAUUCAAUUUAAAUUGCACUAAAGUCUAUGAAUAGAGGAGAAUACAGUGAGCAACUAGGCCAUUUGUCCCGUACCCAAAGAUAUUCAGAAUGAGGAUAGAAAUUCUCCACUCUCACCUCUUCUCUAUUACUCAAGGCUCGUGACGUGCAAUUUGCAUCAUAACCGAUGAGUGUUGAAGUUGAAUUCCCUUGCAGCUUCCUGUGAUGAAGGAUUGUCUUUGAAGAAAGAAGAGACUUGACAAUCAACUUGAAUCAAAUUGUGCUAAAGUCUACAAAUAGAGGUGAAUACAGUGAACAACUAGGUCAUUCGUCCCGUACCUAAAGAUAUUCAAAAUGAGGAUAGAAAUUAUCCACCGUCAUCCCUUCUCUAUUGCUUAAGACUCAUGACACACAAUUUGACUCAUUGAAUUUGACCUUUAUAGUGUUUGAGUAGUAAUCCAGUCUGUCUUAUACUGAUUUGAAUUCUUGAACUUGUGUUUUAAUCUUGAUUAAAGUCUUGAGAUCCAGUAUCCAGUACAACUCUUGAACACAAAGACUUGUCCUAUCAAAUGAUAAAGGGUCUUUUGAUCACUUGAACAGGCUUGGGAAAUUAAGCACAGUCAAAGGAUUUAGUUGAUCAAAGCGUACUUUGACCAACUUAAUCAGUUGGGAAAAAGUUAGUUGAAAGUGAAUAUACAACAACCUACUUUAUUGCAAAUUCUGAAUCCUCGAGACUAUCUUAUCGGUUUUAUUUUGCAAGUCUAUGUAACAAUUCAACAACAAAAAUAUCAAAAGUUCAAUCAUAGACUUUGUGGAGGCAAUAUAUGAGCUACCAAACAAUAUUUUAGGCUUUUCUAGUAUUCAUGAGCAAGGCUAUAGAAACAAACCCAGGUGUUGUUCUGUUGUAUACUAGGUGUAAAAUCUUCAGUCCAUAGUAAAAGUUAACAAACUUGAAGAGAUUUCAAAAAUCCGAAGCUUUGACUCGCACACAUCUUCUAGAGACAAAAAAAAAAAAGUGAAUUCAAAGAAUCCUUUUUCCAAGGAGAUGACACCCCACUUUCCUGAGCAAAUGUUUUGGGUGUAUUUGAUGUUUCAGAAUGUUUAUUGGUUUGGAUUGUUUUUGGUUUCGAAACUAGAAAAGUCCAAGAAAUAUGAAAUGGUUCCAUAGUAGAACUGGAAAAAGAACAACAUUUGAGAAGAAGAUGAACAAUUAUGAACACUGUUAAAUUUUCCAAAAUGAUGAAUUAAAUAAUAUAAUCGGUCAAAAGAUAUUAUUUAUUUAUAUUUUUAUUGAUGUAUAUUUUUUUAAUAUUUAUAAAUCAAUCCAAAUUUUAAUUAUAUAAUACAAUAUUAUUUAAUUAAAAUUGUUUUUAAGAAGAAGAAAAAAACAAGAAUAUUAUUCAAAAAAUAUUUAUUUAAUUAAAGUAAAAUACAACUGAAUGACACAGAACGUUCCACUUAGAUUAUGAAAAAAAAGAAUAUAGAACGUUCCACUUAGAAGUAAGAACUUCACAAUAUCUUUUAAGAAAGAUGAUUUAAGAAAAGAAAAAGAAACGAGCCAUCAGUGACUCAAAAAGAAAACAAACAUAAACUUAACAAGCUUCUUUUAUUUAUCACCAUGAUACAUAAUUACUCAACGGUGAGUACCCCCAGUUCCAUACCCGGUGGCAUUUGGAUUUCCGCCGGUUCCAGUGGUGUGGUGUCGACCCUGCCCCAAGGUGUUCCCAGCCGAGGCCGCAGCAUUGUGAUUACGCGCCGCCUGCUUAUCCAGCUCAGCCUGGGCAACCCUUUCAUCUUUCUUCUGUGUUGCCAACUCCUUCUCCAAGGGAUUAUGUGCCGUCAUCUUCUCAGUUUUCUCCUGGACGUUAGCCUUGGUCUUCUCCAAACCAGACUUGGCUGAAGCACCAAUGUUAGCAGCUGUUUCUUUGGUCUUCUCCAUUUUU
RNAcentral lists this long non-coding RNA (78328 nucleotides) under Lathyrus oleraceus (garden pea). RNAcentral's name for it is "Pisum sativum (pea) long non-coding RNA (PSAT_LNC033933)". Lineage: Eukaryota; Viridiplantae; Streptophyta; Magnoliopsida; Fabales; Fabaceae. The record is from RNAcentral.